Molecule: long non-coding RNA, 71891 nt
Filed under: Hordeum vulgare
Lineage: Eukaryota; Viridiplantae; Streptophyta; Magnoliopsida; Poales; Poaceae
Description: long non-coding RNA (HVUL_LNC015931)
Source: RNAcentral
GGGUUCCUUCUCCCCCUCCAGUGCGCCGCCACCUUCCCCAUCUCUCCUCCUCCCUUCAGGUAGGCUGCUGUAGACAGUAGCAGAGAGAAGCAGAGAAGGUGCCCACGUCUACCCCGAGUCCGCCAUGUCCAGGAGCUCGGGGUUCGACCCCGCGUCCAUUCCCGUCGUCGGUAGGGUCGGGGAGCGACCACACCGACGAGCUCGACCUCGUCAGCGCCUCGGCCCCGGUGCACUUCGUCACUGCUUUGGUCUACGGCAGGAUCUCCCUCCGCACGUGCUCUUCCUCUACAGGCGGCUCCUCCUUCCCGUACGGCGCCCCCUCUUCUUCCCUAGGUGAGGAGGUCGCCCCCCUCCUUCUUCCUCCCUGGUUCGCCCUAGAUCCGAGUGGGGUCUUCGUGUUCCUCUGUGUGCUGUUCGUCAGAGCCAUGGAAGUCGCGUGAGUCUCUCUGUCUCGAGCAGCAGCAGGAGAUCGGGCUGUACGAGUGUGGUGUUCGUGGUGCAUGCAGUAGCAGUAGCAGUAGGAUGAGCUCCCGCGUCACAGCNNNNNNNNNNGGUUCGACCCCGCGUUCCAUUCCCGUCGUCGGUAGGGUCGGGGAGCGACCACAUCGACGAGCUCGACCUCGUCAGCGCCUUGGCCCCGGUGCACUUCGUCACUGCUUCGGUCUUCGGCAGGAUCUCCCUCGGCACAUCCUCUUCCUCUCCAGGCGGCUCCUCCUUCCCGUAUGGCGCCCCCUCUUCUUCCCUAGGUGAGGACGUCGCCCCCCCUCCUUCUUCCCCCCUGGUUCUCCCUAGAUCCGAGUGGGUUCUUCGUGUUCCUCUCUGUGCUGUUCGUCAGAGCCAUGGAAGUCGCGUGAGUGCUCUCUGUCUCGAGCAGCAGCAGGAGAUCGGGCUGUAAGAGUGUGGUGUUCAUGGUGCAUGCAGUAGCAGUAGCAGUAGGAUGAGCUCCCGCGUCACAGCACAGCAGCAGCAGCAGCGUUCUGCUCGGCGCCUUCUCUGUUGCCGGCGAGCAGCAGCUCACGCGCAGGUGCAGAGCAAACCUGACGGGGGUGUUAGCUUACCUGUUUCAGACCUCCUCCUCUGUCAGUUAUCCCUUUCAUAGUGCAGUGGUAGUGAGUCCCGUGGUUUACCGAGAGGUGCAGGGAUCGAGUCCAAGUGGUGCACCUCCACCUUUUUUUGGGUUUUUCUUGCCUCUGGGGAUACCAGCAGCAGAGAGGUUAUCUCGCCAUGUAACCCUCCUUUNNNNNNNNNNCUCAGUUAUCCCUUUCAUAGCGCAGUGGUAGUGCGUCCCGUGGUUUACCGAGAGGUGCAGGGAUCGAGUCCCAAGUGGUGCACCUCCACCUUUUUUUGGGUUUUUCUUGCCUUUGGGGAUACCAGCAGCAGAGAGGUUAUCUCGCCAUGUAACCCUCCUUUGUCGAGUGCAUAGUGAUCAGUGGAGUGGUAGUGGUGCUCUGGGUUACCACAGGGAGUACUGGGAUCGAAUCCCAAGAAGUUUCUUUUUUUUCAUUUUUUUUGUUUUCUCUUUGCGGCUAUAUUGAUUCAUCUUUGCUUUUUAGUUCCUGUUAUAUCCAUAGAUGGCUUGGCAAUUUUUUUUCCAUCCUAUGCUGCAAUAAGAGGUGCCAUACCAGGUUUGNNNNNNNNNNGAGGGAGUACUGGGAUCGAAUCCGAGGAAGUUUCUUUUUUUCAUUUUUUUUGUUUUCUCUUUGCUGCUAUAUUGAUUCAUCUUUGCUUUGUAGUUCCUGUUAUAUCCAUAGAUGGCUUGGCAUUUUUUUUCCAUCCUAUGCUGCAAUAAGAGGUGCCAUACCAGGUUUGCAUGUGUGUGUUCAUAUGAGUAGAGCAUACAUGUUGUGUGUGUGAGGACAUACAUAUGGGUUUAGUGGCUCUAGAUUGUGUGUAUGGAGGUACUUCCUAGAAGUUGAUCCUAAUAUAUGAUAGCAAGUGUAGUGGUAACAUGUGUAGGUACUUCUUUGUUGUNNNNNNNNNNUGCACUAGAUUGUGUGUAUGGUGGUACUUCCUAGAAGUUGAUCCUAAGAUAUGAUAGCAAGUGUAGUGGUAACAUGUGUAGGUACUUCUUUGUUGUAGGUGCUUGCAUUUGAUGUUGCACUAGGUGGUGUGUAUAAGUAUAGUAGUUCUUGUUCUAGUGAUGGUUGCUUUGAUUACAUGAGUAAGUGUGUGGAUUUCAUCUCGAGCAUGAUGUGUUUGUGAGUGUGCGUGCCAUAGAUACUUGUGAGUGUGUGUGUGUGAGUGCUAGUGCUAGUGUAGAUGCAAGCACAAGUGAGUGGAGUUGUGGUGCAUUGUGCACUUGGUGNNNNNNNNNNAAGUAAGUGUGUGGAUUUGAUCUCGAGCAUGAUGUGUUUGUGAGUGUGUGUGCCCUAGAUACUUGUGAGUGUGUGUGUGUGAGUGCUAGUGCUAGUGCAGAUGCAAGCACAAGUGAGUGGAGUUGUGGUGCAUUGUGCACUUGGUGUGUGCAAGUGUUGGCACCUUCAUUUGUGCAAGAAGGAAGCCCUCAUGUGCACCUAGAUGAGGUUGUGGUGAGGAUAUGCGUGUGGAUGGCAGCCCCACUUUGCAAUACUUGUUCUCCUCCUCAUGUUUAAUAUGAGAGAGAGCAUGUUGUGUGUGUGGGGUUGGCUUGUGAUAAGCAUUGGAGUUGUUGAUGUGCAUGACACAAACAUGGGGUUCAAACCCCCAUGUCACUUUGUCAUUGUGCACAUGAACUCAUCCUAUGUAGUUGUUUUGAACCUGGUAUGUUUGUGAAGCUUCCUAUCAAUUUUCAAGUCAUUUCGAGUCCAGUAGCUUGUGUUUUGAUUGCUGUCAAAAAGCUUCAGAACAGANNNNNNNNNNNNNNNNNNNNNNNNNNNNNNNNNNNNNNNNNNNNNNNNNNNNNNNNNNNNNNNNNNNNNNNNNNNNNNNNNNNNNNNNNNNNNNNNNNNNGUUCUAGUUUAUUGUUGCAUUUUGUGGUGCUGCUGUUCAUUGGCUGUUAUUCUUGUGUUGGGUAGCACCGGGAGCGGAGAACGAAUACGUGGAGUCAGGAGAGUACAUGCAGGACGAUCCAGAACCAUUCCAAGCUGAGGAUAUCACAGGCAAAAUGAUAUGACCUUGAUCCCAUCUCUAGACUUGUUAUGUUAGUUUCGAUUCCACGUGAUAUUGUUCGCUGCCAACCACUGAAAAUAUAUUGCCUCUUCAUAUGCCAUGAGCUUAAACACCUNNNNNNNNNNUAGAAGACUACGCGCAGGACGAUCCAUAACCAUUCCAAGCUGAGGAUAUCACAGGCAAGAUGAUAUGACCUUGAUCCCAUCUCUAGACUUGUCAUGUUAGUUUCGAUUCCACGUCAUAUUGUUCGCUGCCUACCACUGAAAAUAUAUUGCCUCUUCAUAUGCCAUGAGCUUAAACACCUUACUCUUUCCUAGCAAACUUGCAUGGCUAGGUAGGCUUGCUCAGUUACUAAUGUUAGCGUUGUUAGCUGCAGGUGCCUUAACUCAUGUGAGGACAUGAGCUUGAUAUCAUUAUAGUAAUUUCUGUUAUUUAAUUAAGGUAUCUAUAUACUUGGUAAAUGACGGGAGGCCUAGCUUUUUGCCGGGUGUCUUGUUCCGUUAUUGCCGCCCUAUUUACCGGUUACCGGUGUUUGAUUCCAUAAUGAUCGCUACUAACACGUUCGGGGUUGUUAUGGGGACCCCCUUGAUAAAUCGCGUAGUGCUAAGGCUUNNNNNNNNNNNNNNNNNNNNNNNNNNNNNNNNNNNNNNNNNNNNNNNNNNNNNNNNNNNNNNNNNNNNNNNNNNNNNNNNNNNNNNNNNNNNNNNNNNNNNNNNNNNNNNNNNNNNNNNNNNNNNNNNNNNNNNNNNNNNNNNNNNNNNNNNNNNNNNNNNNNNNNNNNNNNNNNNNNNNNNNNNNNNNNNNNNNNNNNNNNNNNNNNNNNGGUCACCCGGAGGUUUAGCCAUCCCGACGUCUAGCUCAUCUGUCGUGUCCUGAGACUGAGAUAGGCGGCUCUUAUCAGGGUCGUCGACACGACGGGAGGUCCUGCUGGUCGUGUCUUACCUUAGUGGUAUAUAUUGCGUAUAGGAAUCCCAGUGAAGCUUUAGUUUUCCCCAGAGUUGAGGUUUUCCUCUAAGGAAUCCGACGAUAUCACGAGAUUCGUGAUAGAGGAUGCCUUUGCGGCAUGUGUUCUUUUGUGAUGGACUAGUUCGAGCACCCCUGCAGGGUUUAAUCUUUUGGAAAGUUGUGCCCGCGGUUAUGUGGCAACUUGGAAUAUUUUGUUAACAUCCGGGAUUAGAGAACUUAAACAUAAACUAAUAAAAUAUGCCAACUGUGUGCGUAACCGUGACUGCCCCUUCGAAGAUNNNNNNNNNNNNNNNNNNNNNNNNNNNNNNNNNNNNNNNNNNNNNNNNNNNNNNNNNNNNNNNNNNNNNNNNNNNNNNNNNNNNNNNNNNNNNNNNNNNNUUCCGUGUGACAGAGAGGUAUCUCCGGGCCCACUCGGUAAUACAACAUCACACACAAGCCUUGCAAGCAAUGUGACUUAGUGUAAGUUGCGGGAUCUUGUAUUACGGAACGAGUAAAGAGACUUGCCGGUAAACGAGAUUGAAAUAGGUAUGCGGAUACUGACGAUCGAAUCUCGGGCAAGUAACAUACCGAAGGACAAAGGGAAUGACAUACGGGAUUAUAUGAAUCCUUGGCACUUAGGUUCAAACGAUAAGAUCUUCGUAGAAUAUGUAGGAUCCAAUAUGGGCAUCCAGGUCCCGCUAUUGGAUAUUGACCGAGGAGUCUCUCGGUUCAUGUCUACAUAGUUCUCGAACCCGCAGGGUCUGCACACUUAAGGUUCGACGUUGUUUUAUGCGUAUUUGAGUUAUAUGGUUGGUUACGGAAUGUUGUUCGGAGUCCCGCAUGAAUUCACGGACGUCACGAGGGUUUCCGGAAUGGUCCGGAAAUGAAGAUUGAUAUAUAGGAUGACCUCAUUUUAUUACCGGAAGGUUUUCGGAGUUACCGGGAAUGUACCGGGAAUGACGAAUGUGUUCCGAGAGUUCACCGUGGGGGGCAACCCACCCCGGGGAAGCCCGUAGGCCUUGGGGGUGGCACACCAGCCCUUAGUGGGCUGGUGGGACAGCCCAAAAGAGCUCUAUGCGCCAUAGGAAGAAAAAUCAAAGAGAAAAGAAAAAAAAGAGGAGGUGGGAAAAGGGAGAAGGACUCCACCUUCCAAACCAAGUGGGACUCGGUUUGGGGGGGGGGAGACAUUCCCCCCUUGGCUCGGCCGAAACCCUUAGGGGUCCUUGGACCCCAAGGCAAGGCUCCCCCUNNNNNNNNNNNNNNNNNNNNNNNNNNNNNNNNNNNNNNNNNNNNNNNNNNNNNNNNNNNNNNNNNNNNNNNNNNNNNNNNNNNNNNNNNNNNNNNNNNNNGAGUGCAACACAGACGUUGAGGACCUACAGANNNNNNNNNNCAAGCUCUACCCAGAAGGAGUUGUUGCAUCUUCGACAACGCGCUUACUCCUGCCGACAAAGCUACAGGGGCGAAGAAGAACAAGAGUACCGACAAGACCUCCAGCAAGGACUCCAAGAAGUGGUCUAGGGAGUGCAACACAGACGUUGAGGACCUACAGAGGGUUCUGCCGCCACGAGUAAGAAAUCUAAAGUGGUGACCCCCAAGACGAAGUAGUUUGCUGCGAAGGAGGAUGGCUUGAGCAACACUUUCACCAUAAGUGUCACCCUUGAUGACAAAUAGGAAAGUGCACUCAUCUCCUUCUUGUGGGCGAAUAUAGAUAUGUUUCCCUCACAACCAUUUGACAUCCCUGGUGUUCCUAGGGAUGUUAUACAACACCACCUUGUCGUUUGUCCUCACUCUUGCCCCAUGAAUAAGAAGGUCAGGAAGCAAGAUUUAGAGCGACAAGAGUUCAUUGACAAGGAAAUAAAGACACUAGAAGCAACAAGCUUGAUCACACGUGUGAUCGACCCAACCUUGUUAGAAAAUCCAGUUUUAGCGUGGAAGAAAAAUAGAAAGUGGAGACUUUGUAUUGAUUUUACCGGCAUAAAUAAAGCUUGUCCGAAAGAUCCCUUUCCACUGCCGGCUGCGACCUCCUAUCCUUCCUUGAUGUUUACUCUAGUUAGCAUCAUAUUUUCAUGGCCAAGGAAGGCGAGGAGAANNNNNNNNNNAUUGUCCGAAAGAUCCCUUUCCACUGCCGGCUGCAACCUCCUAUCCUGCCGGCUUACUCUAGUUAGCAUCAUAUUUUCAUGGCCAAGGAAGGCGAGGAGAAAACAACCUUUAUUACUCCAAGUGGCACAUACUGCUUUAGGCAUAUGCCUUUUGGACCAAAAAUUGUUGGUUCAACAUUUACAAGGGCCAUCCAAAUUGGUUUUGAAUCCCAACUCCAGAGAAAUGUGGAAGGGUAUAUAGAUGAUAUAGUGGUCAAGACCGAGGACAAAGACAAACUAAUUCAAAAUCUUUAAGAGACAUUUGCAAAAUUUAGCAAGAUCAAUUGGAAGCUCAAUCCCUAGGAGUGUGUGUUUUCCAUUCCGUCCAGCAAACUUCUUGGUUUCUUUGUUUCUCAACGUGGAAUUGAAGCUAACCCCAUCAAGAUUGGAGCAAUCGAGCAUUUGGAGGCCCCAAAGCGCGUCAAGGAUGUGUGCCGAUUGGAGGGUUGUAUUACNNNNNNNNNNAAAGAUCAAUUGGAAGCUCAAUCCUGAGGAGUGUGUGUUUUCCAUUCCGUCCAGAAAACUUCUUGGUUUCUUGGUUUCUCAACGUGGAAUUGAAACUAACCCCACCAAGAUCGGAGCAAUCGAGUAUUUGGAGGGCCCCAAAGCGCGUCAAGGAUGUGUGCCGAUUGGAGGGUUGUAUUACUGCUUUGAGCAUGUUUAUUUCUAAGUCUGUUGAGCACGCCCUAUUGUUUUUCAAGAUUUCAAAACGGCACUCCAAAGAAAUGGACUCUGUGAGCGGAGGAUGUGCUGCAGGACCUGAAAAACUACCUAUCCUACAUGCCAGUACUAGUUGCACCUAUGUUGCAAGAGACAUUGUUGUUAUAUUUGGGGGCAACCAAUCUACGGGUUUGUAUUGCGCUAGUGGCGAAGAGGGAAGCUGGUGAUGAAGCGGCAACAACCCCAAAACAGGUGAACAGCAAGCCAAACUCAAGGUGCCGCCAACGCAAAUACAAUGCAAGAAGCAACCCAGCAAGUUGUACAGAUGAAGAAAUAGUGCAGCGCCCAGUUUUAUUUCAUCAGCUCCCUUCUUUAGGGAGGUAGGUCAAAAUAUUCUGGGGGGCAAAAGUUGCUCUUUGGCCUCCUCAUGACCUCCCAAAAGUUGUGCUACUACUUCCAAGCACACCACAUUACUGUCGUCACUUGCUUUCCCUUCUAAGGCAUAUUGUGCAAAUCGGAAUGUACUGGCAGGAUAUUAAAGUGGGCUUUGGAGAUGGCUAGUUUUGAUUUGAGUUUUCAAAGCACAACAACCAUUCAAUGAAGGGUGUUGGUAGAGUUCAUUGCAUAAUGCACACCAAUGCAAGACGAUGACAUACAAGAAAUAGUCCUCCGCAGGAAGGAAGCACCACAGAAAUGGAUCGUGUACUUCGAUGGAGCUUUUCCGCUCCAAAGCACCAGUGUCGGCAUCUUGCUUAUCGCACCCAUCGGAGAGCACCAUAAGUAUGUGAUCCAGAUGCACUUUACUAGUGAGGUAUCGACAAACAACACUAUAGAGUAUGAAGGAUUGCUUACUGGCCUACGGAUUGUUGUUGAUCUUGGCAUCAGAAAGUUUAUGAUCCGAGGAGACUCAUAGGUUGUCAUGCAUUAACUAAACUAAGAUUACCACAUCCCUUUGUUGGAAGCAUAUGUUGAUGAAUUAAGGAAGUUGGAAGAGACUUUGAUGGUUUACAGACAAAGCAUGUUCCUCGUCCGGAAAACAACAUCGCAGAUGACCUAUCAAAACAUGUUGCUAAAAAGCUACCUAUGGAACAAAGGAGUUUUGUCCUCCAAUUGACUCAACCAUAUAUGACACCAUCAAUACGAAAAUUCAAGAAGAGUAAGACUAAUUCGAGUGACUAUUCUCCGGCAAAGCUACCACCCGCCGCCAGAAAACUUGUCAGAAGCAACACAUUGAUACUUGUAAAAUGUGUUGGGAGUUUCCCCAAAGAGGUGAAGAGAUGCAACAGAGUAGAUAAACUAGUGAUAUCCAAGGUUAUCGAACCAAUAGGAGAACCACACAAAUUCUCAUCGUGGACACCUACAUAGAAAAGUAGAAACACUUGCACCAAACAUAGGCAAGAGGGAUGUCAAGCCCCUUGAACUCGUUACAUGCAAGUAUUCAGUAGUGAUAUAUAGAUAAUACAAAUAUAAAAUAAAAUAAUGGUAGAUAAAUAGUUGUGAAGUACUCCCUCUGUAAACUAAUAUAAGAGCAUUUACAACACUACUAUAGUAAUCUAAACGCUCUUAUAUUAGUUUGAGGGAGUAUAUAUUAAUGACAUUUAUCGUAUAUAUAGGCAUCACGUCCNNNNNNNNNNACCCUUGAACUCGUUACAUGCAAGUAUUAAGUAGUGAUAUAUAGAUAAUACAAAUAUAAAAUAAAAUAACGGUAGAUAAAUGGCAGCAAUCGUUUUCGGAUUUUUAUAAUAUAUUUUGUAAAGACCCGGGGGACAUAAUUUUUGCUAGAGGAUUCUCUCUCGAAGAAACCAUACAGUGGGUGAACAAAUUACUUUUAGGAAUUGAUAGAAUAGCACAUAGUUAUGAAGUACUCCCUCUGUAAACUAAUAUAAGAGCAUUUAGAACACUACUUUAGUAAUCUAAACGCUCUGAUAUUAGUUUAAGGGAGUAUAUAUUAAUGACAUUUAUCGUAUAUAUAGGCAUCACGUCCAUAACCAAGUAGACCGACUCUUGCCUUCAUCUAUGAUUAUUUCUCCGCUCAUCGACUGCUAUCCAACAUGCAUCUGGAGUAUUAAGUAUGAUACAGAUUAAUGCUUGCAUCAAGAUGACAUGAUGUACACAAAGUAAACUCAACUAAUAUGAAUAAACCCCAUCUUUUAUCCUUAAUGUCACAAAUAUAAAUAUGUGUCAUGUACCCUCAUGUCACUAGAAUUGAACACCGCAAGAUUGAACCCAUCACAAUGCACCACUCGCACUAAUAAUAAAUUAACCUAGUUGGCCAAACCAAAUGGAUACAUCAAAGGGAAAUACAAAGCUAUCCUAAUUAUGCAUAUAAGAAACCAUGGAAGACUCAAUAUAUUUUCAUGAAUAAUCNNNNNNNNNNAAAUAAAUUAACCUAGUUGGCCAAACCAAAGGGAUACGUCAAAGGGAAAUACAAAGCUAUCCUAAUGAUGCAUAUAAGAAACCAUGGAAGACUCAAUAUAUUUUCAUGAAUAAUCUGAUCAUAAAGCCACAAUCUAUUGGAUUCCAACAAAAACACCGCAAAGAAGAUUACAAAGAAUCGAUCACCGCGGGAAUCACGGUGAACUUUGUAUUGAAGAUCAUAGAGAGAGAUGGCCAUCUAGGUACUAGUUAUGGACCCGUAAGUCUAUGGUAGACUAGUCACAGAUCACCAUGGAAGCAAAAAGUUGAUGUAGAGGCCCUCCAAGAUCGAUCCCCCCUCUGUUAGGGUACCAAAAUAGGGCUCCANNNNNNNNNNNNNNNNNNNNNNNNNNNNNNNNNNNNNNNNNNNNNNNNNNNNNNNNNNNNNNNNNNNNNNNNNNNNNNNNNNNNNUUUAUAGAGGCGGUAUUAGGUCAGGAGGCACCGGGAGGGGUCCAAAGCCAUCAGGAUGCGACCACCUCCUGGGUGCGCACUAUUGGCUUGGCACCACCCCGUGUGGCGUCUCGUCUCCCUACGAAUCUUCCAGGUCUUAUUUUUGUCCAGAAUAAAUUGUUAAAAUUUUCUUUGCACUUCGACUUCGUUUGGUAAUCAUUUCCUUACAAACCCANNNNNNNNNNGAUGGGAUGAUGACUGAACAGGGACUUGCAACAGAGAAAAAAGUGUUUCAGGUGGCUCUCCGAUGUUUUCCCAAUUUUACAAUANNNNNNNNNNNNNNNNNNNNNNNNNNNNNNNNNNNNNNNNNNNNNNNNNNNNNNNNNNNNNNNNNNNNNNNNNNNNNNNNNNNNNNNNNNNNNNNNNNNNACAUGGGCUUGUGUCAAAGGGAAGAUCUCAUACAACCCAUGGAGUUUGACGUCAAAUUGUGAUCAUCAUCAAUGGUUGAUCAAGAUCUCAGACAAAGAGUAAAUCAAGAUGAUCAACACACAAAGCGUACAAGAUGUACCGAGAGGGAUCAAGUGAUCCCAUGGUAUGGUAAGCAUUGUCCAUUACGUGUUUGUGUACUAACCCAUGGUCUUCGUGAGAGUUCUAUGUGGGGGUUAGGUGUGUUUCCACGGGCUUGCGUCAAAGGGAAAAUCUCAUAGAACCCAUGGAGUAUGACGUCAAGUUGUGAUCGUCAUCAAGAUUGCGAUGUGCAAGUUCAAGUGGAUCAGCAUGAAGAUAGCAUGCUUGAAGCUUGCCGUCCAUUGUGGUGGAAAUGGACUUGUGAAGAUAUGCUGAAGAGUGGCUCACCCAUAGUGAGUAUGGGGGAGCAAUCAACUAGUCUUCAUCAAGCCAACACAAUCAAGAAAGGUGGUCCAUCUUGAGGAAGCCAAGAUCAUCAUUAUCUAGCUCAAGAGGACGAGGUGCAUGGUAUAGGUUUGCCCUUGAUAGGUUUUCUGGUUAGGAUAGAUUGAUGUUCUAUCAAGGGGGGCUCUCAAGUGAGUAGCUUGAUCGUAUCGUUCGUUGAGAGCUCAAACCAUUUGCAUCCUUGCAUCAUACUUCUUGGUUCUCGUUUGGUGUUUCUCUUUGUGAGUUUUAGAGCUUAUGGUCAUCUUCGUGACAAGCUCGAGUUCAUCGAAAACGGAGUCCAUAUGCAUCUACUGUUUGGAUAGCCCUUGUCGUCCUGAAUCCAACAAGCUUGGGUUUGCUCGAUUCGGAGCUCGUAUGCGAAAGUUAUGGCUGUUUCAGUGGCGAGCGGUAGUACCGCUGGACCUAGCGGUAGUACCGCUAGAGUUGGCGGUAGUACCGCUGGCCCAAGCGGUAGUACCGCUGGCUCGCGGUAGUACCGCACCUGGUCAGCAGUAGUACCGCUCCAGGAGCUUAGUACCGCCUGCCUAGCGGUUGUUCGUGGACGGACCUUUUUGCGAAGACUUUCUUGGUGGUGGUAGUGCCUUUGCACUACCAGGGGCCCAGUGGUAGUACCGCUGGGGCCAGCGGUAGUACCGCUGCAGCCAGCUGUAGUACCGCUAGCUGGCGGUAGUACUGCUGGAGUGACAGCGGUAGUACCACUGGAGUGCCAGCGGUAGUACCGCUGCAGCCAGCGGUAGUACCGCUGGAGCUCGGGCAGAGAGUGGGGGUAACGGUCUGAUUCUUUCCCCCACUAUAUAAAGGGGGUCUUCUUCCCCCUUGGCCUUAUCCAUCCGUUGAGCUCUUGUUCUACCUCCAUUGUUGACAUUCUUAGAGCUUGAUUACUCUCAAUCCCUCCAAUGAUUCUUGCUUGUUCUUGAGGGAAAAGAGAGAGGAGAUCUAGAUCCACAUCUCCACCAAUCACUUUCUCCUAUAUGUGAGGGGAACCCCUUGGAUCUUGAUCUUGGAGUUCUUUGUGAGCUCCUUGUUCUUCCUCUCAUAUUUCUCCAUAGCUUUUGUUGUUGUGGAGGGAUUUGAGUGUGAGGGACUUGACCACUUCGUGGUUUCUUGCCAUUGCAUUAGUUGCAUCGGUUUGAGUUCUCCACGGUGAUACGUGGAAGUGAGAAGUUGAGAAGCUUACUACCUUUGGUACUUAGUACCCUUGAUAUUGUUCUUCGUGGAUGCUUUGGCGUCCUAGAAGCUUGGUGGUGUCUCGGAGCUCAAUCAUUGUGGUGUGAAGCUCCGGGAAGCGUCGGGGGUCUCCAAUUAGGUUGUGGAGAUUGCCCCGAGCAAUUUGUAUGGGUACCGGUAACCGCCCCCAAGGGUUGCCACGUGUACGGGUUCGGUGACCGCCCCCAAGGGUUGCCAUUUGUACGGGUUCGGUGACCGCCCUCAAGGGUCCCUUAGUGGAAUCACGGCAUCUUGCAUUGUGCGAGGGAGUGAGGAGAUUACGGUGUCCUUAGUGGCAUCUUGGGGAGCAUUGUGCCUCCACACCGCUCUAACGGAGAUUAGCAUCCGCAAGGGUGUUAACUUCGGGAUACAUCAUCGUCUCCCCGUGCCUCGGUUAUCUCUUACCCGAACCCUUUACUUAUGCACUUUACUUUGUUAUAGACAUAUUGUUUAUUGUAAUAUAUCUUGCUAUCACUUAGUUGUUUAUCUUGCUUAGCAUAAGUUGUUGGUGCACAUAGGUGAGCCUAGUUGUUUGUAGGUUUUGUGCUUGACAUAUUAAACGUUAGUUUUAUUCCGCAUUUGUUCAAGCCUAAACCUUAACUAUUUUAAAGCGCCUAUUCACCCCCCCCACCUCUAGGCGACAUCCAUGUCCUUUUCAGAUAUAUACAUUGAUGUACUGUGUGUGCCAGCAUACGGAUCCAGGGAUGGCACAGAUACACAGAGGCUUGACUCAUCUUGAGUCGGGUCGCUACAAACAAAUAAUUUUUUGACUUAGCUACUUGACCUUGUUGGGUGUGAACCAUAAAGGCAUAUUUACCUAGACACUUCACAUCAUUAGCAAUUCUAAACAUCAAGUCACUCAAACGAUCUAUCGUCAUGGCAUUAUUCCCUUAAUUGAUUCUUAACAUAGUUAUUAAAGUGCUCUUGCUUCACAAUGUAAUUAUCAAAUUCAUCCAUGCAUUGCUCAUGAGUCUUAGCAUAAGGUAUAUCAUUCUCAUUAAAGGAACGGAGAGAGUUUACCUCUACUACUUGUGUCGGGAUAUCAAGUCCAUGUGUUUCUUCGACCUAUGGUAAUUUCUUAAUAUCCUCAAUUUUAAUACAUUUCUCCUUGAUAGCUCUCUUUGAUUCUUGCAUAUCUUUGGGGCUGAGAAAUAGAAUACCUCUCUUAUUUUGGAUAGGCUCACGUUGUGGUUCAGGGUAUGCCCAAUCAUCACCAUUUUGUGUCAUUUUAUUUAAGAGCUUUUUGGCUUGUUCAAUGGUUCUUUCCCUGAAAACACAACCAGCACAACUAUCUAGGAAAUCCCUAGAAGGGUUUGUUAGUCCAUAAUACAAGAUAUCGAGAAUUUCAUUUUUCUUAAGAGGACAAUCAGGAAAACCUCUUAGUAACUGAAAAAUCCUUCCCCAAGCUUGAGGGAGAUUCUUUUGUUUAAUUUGAGCAAAGUUAAAUAUUUACUGUAAGGAAACUUGUUUCUUAUGACCAGGAAAAUAUUUUUCAAGGAAGUGAUAAAGCAUAUCUUGCGCACUACUCAUACAACUAAGAGCAGGAGAUAGGAACCAUUCCUGGGCCUCACCUUUCCGUGAGAAAGGAAAAAGCUUAAGGAUAUAACAACAUUACUUUCAACAUUGGUUAACAACACAACAAGAUCAUUCAGUUUCAUAAGGUGUUCUACCAUAGUUUCAUUUUUGUAGCCAUGGAAAUUAUUAGACUCCACUAUAGGAAUCAGUUUAUGGUCUAUAGCACAUUCAUAGUCCUUAUUAGUGACAAGUAUUGAAGAAGUAACAAAUUUAGGAUCAUAUUUCAUUUUCUCCAUCACGGGUUUUUCCUUUAGUUUGCCUAGUAAUUUAUUCAAAUAAUCUCUAUCAUUACAAGCUAGAAAGUCCCUACCUACUUCACCAACCAUAACAUAACCUUCAGGUACAUAAGGCAAUUCAUAUCUAUUUGGAGGACGGGAUGUAGCAAAUGGUUCAAAGUCUUCAUCAGUUUCAGUAUUUUCAAGUUCACUCGCUCUAGCAAUAUGGGCAUCAAGUAAUUCAUUCAGUGGCACUGUUUCAGUUUGAUCAUGUGUAGAAAUAAUAUCAUCAUUAAAUUCAUAAGUAGCAUCAUAAAAUUCAAGUGGCAUAUGUGGUCAAGCAACACGUGGCGUUGCAACAAGCUGAUUCAAAACGGUAAGUGAAUCAAAAGCAGAGCUAGAUGUCAGUUCCUUACAUCCUCUCGUGCGAGAUGGGACGAUCUUGGUUCCAUUACCUUUCAGAUUCUUCAUAAUGGCAAUUGGAUAUCCUCAAGUCAACACAAUUAAUAGAUCUAUGCUCCCCACAACGGCGCCAGAAAAUGGUCUUGAUAACCCACAAGUAUUGGGGAUCAUGACAAUCUUCACGAGUAUUAUUUCAACCUAAUUUAUCGAUUCGACACAAGGGGGAUUCGUCGAUGUCGUCAUCACCGACCCUUCUCCAUCAACAGCACCAUGAUGCUUACCACCGGGAGUUUGUACUUCCUUUGCAGCCUUGCUGGACAGUGGUGGGAUUGGAUGAGAUUGAUCAUGUCAUCUAGUUAAGUUUGAUAGUGCUUGAUUCCUAGUAUCCACUAUGUUGUAAGAAUCAUGUUACUAAGACUUUGAAAUGCUUAAUGCUUGUCGCUAGGGCCUGAGUGCCUUGAUUUCAGAUCAAAACCUAUGAUGUUUUCAUUAAUAUAAUAGUGAUUUGGAUACCAUCUUGCAAGUUAUAGUUACCUAUUACGUGUCCUGCGCCGCAUACCCCAAGGUGACAAUAAUCGGGAUUCUUUCUUGUGAUUCUCGUAGUUUGAGGAGUUCAUGUCUUCACUAUGUGUUAAUGCUUUGUUCUGGUUCUCUAUUAAAAUGAUACCUUAAUAUCCCUUUCAAUAGGACCCCGCUGCCGCGGGAGGGUAGGACAAAAAAUGGCAUGUAAGUUCUAAUCGCAAGCAUGUACGACUAUAUAUGGAAUACAUACCUACAUUAUAUUGAUGAAUUGGAGCUAGUUGUGUGUCGCUCUAGUAUGUAAUUGUCAUAUGACCAAUGUCAUAUAAAUCAUUAUUCACUACAGAUCCACGUGCCUAUGCAUUACAUAUACUGAAUCUUGCUAAGUUACUACUCUUGCUACUAUAGUCACACCUUCUACUAAACUGCUACUUUUAUUACUCUUACCAAAAUCGCUGCUAUCACUGUUACUGUUAGUACUAUUACUUGUUGUGCCACUAAAUACUUCCUGCAGAAGGAUAUCCCAAGUGCGGUUCAAUUGAUAACUCAACUAUUAUAGCCAAUAAUAGUACUAACAAUGAUAGCACAAACUCCCGGUGGUAAGCAUCAUGGUGCUGUUGAUGGAUAAGGGUCGGUGAUGACGACAUCGAUGAAUCCCCCUGUCCGGAGACCCAAAAGGACUCCAGAUCAGCCCUCCGUAGGAAGAACAGGAGGUGGCGGCGGCUGUCUCGUAGAAUGCGAUGAAAACUUCUCACGUAUUUUUUCUCGGAGAAUAUGAAUUUAUAAGAGCGGAAUGACCUUCAUCAGGGAAAACUCGUGAUCUCCUCGGAUUCCUAAUGGAAAACAUCAACCUCGAGAUAGCCCAUAGUAUCCUCGGAAUCCGUCGCAUAAGAAGCUCGAGAAAGAAAAAACAAGUCCAGCAAGGCCGCCGAGCGUGUCCACGAUCCAGAUAGGACCCACAUAUCUCAUUCUCAGGACACGAUAGAUAAGCUAGUGUACAGGGCCUGAUAGACAUCACCUGAGUUGCCUCAGGUUGGCUCCGCACAUUGCUCUAUUUUGGACCAGCACCAUCAGCACUGGCCCUCCCUGUAUUAUGUUGAAUUAAUCCUCGGGUUCAUGAUGCCCUAUGUUUUUCAGUGUUAACAGAAUUAUAAUGUGGGGCAAAUAUAGUACCAAUGGUGGGCCUUGCCACACGAGCUUUAUCCAAAAAAGAAAGUCAAGGGGGCCCCAUAACAACCCCAAGCAUGUUAGGAGUGCUCAUUUGUGGAACAUAACACCGGUAGACCAAACUAAGGCGGCAAAGGUGAAAAAAACACCAGGCUAGAAGGCCAAGCCUUCCACCUCUUACCAAGCAUAUUGGUGUAUUAAAUUAAUUAGCAAUAAUAUGGUGAUAUAAAAAGGAACCCAUGUUUUUGCAUGAAAGCAACUGCACCUGCAACUAGCAAUGCUAUCAAAAGGCUGAGCAAGCGGUAACAUAGCCAAACAAGGUUUGCUGGGUAGUGGAAUGAUUAGAGGUUUCCAUCGCAAUGUUGGGAGGCUGAUAUUUAACAGGUGGUAGACAGUGAGACCUAGCGAUAGAAACGAAACAACUAGCAUGGUAAUGUAUAAUGACGAACUUCACAUACUAAUUAUUUAGUUCCCUUUUGUUUAGGUACACGGCAAUAUUAAAUGUUGUUAAACAUGGCAACGGGUGAAGCAUAAUUAAACUACCUAUCUAGGCAUUUUAAAUGAGGCCGAAAACGACAUAUAGCAUCUCUGAAAUGACCCCACGCAUUAACUUUGUAAUCUGUCCAGAUUUGUCCUUACCACAUUUUAUGUUUGUUAAACGGAAAAACAAAGUGGUCCACGCGAAACUACGCGUCAUUCUAGUCGGUUUAAAUAUAUAGCUCAUCUCCAACGGAGCAACUGUUAACUAGCUAUGAAUAAAACUAUUUUUAACAUGUUGUCAAGAAAACCAAUGCAAACAACACGUUAAACAGUUUUAAAUAUUUAUGAGAGUUAGAAAAUAUUUAUCUACACAAAAUUCUACACGUUUAACGUAUAUAAACUAUUCCGAUCCAUCGCAGGGUUUAUAAAUUACGGACAUUUUCAUAUUUGCAUUUUUUUCUAAAAACAGAUAAAUUCACAAGUUAAGAUAAGUUGCUACACGGGAAAAAAUGUAGGCGGGCCAAAACUGAAUCCAUACGGGCCAACUGGGGCUAGUGCAACAUAGCUAAGAAGCGCACGCGGUGCAGGAUAGGGCGGGGAUCUCACCACAGGCCGUGGGCCGAGGCCCAUAUGGUGGAGAAGCUAGGCAGGCCGGUCGAGGUAGCCGGAGUUCGGCCGGCUCGCUGGGUUUGGCGCGUGCUGGGCCUUGUCGUGGCCCACAUAGAGGCUAGAGGUCAACGCGAGCAACUCCUCGCUUGCUCCAACGCGCGGCGAGUAGUAGACCACGACGGCGACUCAGAUUGGGCUCUGUCGUGGCUGCCCACAGGUGACCGGGGGAAGCAUCGUGUGGGCAGCCACCCGGAUCCAUUCGCGUCCCACGGGAAGGUGUCGGUUCCAGUCGUGACCAACAGAGGGAGGCGGCACCUCGAGGAGCUAGGGCGUCCAUGCGGCUCCUCGCAAUGCGGCGGCCCGGUGGGAGGCUGCUAGCGGCGGGGAUGGGCCCUCCGGCCAAUGGGAUGCGGCGGCUCGCCGGUGGCGGUGUGAGGCACGACGGACUUGGGCGGAUCCGGCUCAGGGCAGUCGCCGCCGCUCGUGGAGCUCGGGAGCUCUUGGGCAGGAUAGCUUGGGGCUCAGCGGGACUGCGGCCCUGGUCGAUCCGGGACGGGAGGGCCCGGCUCGGUCGAUGGUAGGGAGAGAAGAGGAGCUGGGUGGCGGCUGGCUAGGGUUACAGGCGCAAAUCCCAAGGAAAGGAGUGUUGGCUGUCCAAAAUUAGGGAGGGAGUGUUUAAAUAGGAUUUGGGCGUAAGUUAGGGGUAUUUGACAUCCAAUUUCAACCGUAGGAUCGCAACCGAACGGCCUUGGUUGCACCCUAAAGUUAGGUGGUUGUGUAGAUUAGGAUAGGUUGGGAAUAGUGGGAGGUUUGCUUCCCGACAACAAGAGUUUUACACAUUGCAAAACAACCGACGAUAAACUGAUGACGUUGUUGUUAUGGUUGACCGUUCGGGUAUCAAACGGACCCCGAUUGCAAGAUAAAUUGACAAGCGGCCUACCUACACUAUAUUAAGACCGCACGCAAGUUUUAACCCAAUCCAAGAAAGUUUUAUACACACUUUUAAAAAACAAAAAUAAUAUCUAUUCCGCGGGCGCGUGCGUGUGUGGUUGGUUUCAAAACGGUUAACGACAAAAACGGAGAGAACCGACAACUAAUAAGGGAUGCAUGUUUUGAAAACAGGCGGCAAUGGAGUGCCGAUCCAAUGUAGAUGAUGCGAAUGAUGCAAUGAUGAAUGGAACAACCAAAAUAAUAACACGGCGACAACGAAAUAAAAGGGAAUCUUCUUGAGCGUCGGCCUCCGGCUGUUAGAACUCUCCUACACUAACAAGAGAUCUAGCCCCGAGAUCUAAGAAUGAAAAGGGGGAGAGGAAGAGAAGCAAGAGGUAAAACUUAGUUGCUUCUUUGACAAACGAGUGAAACCAACAAAACAUAGAUGUUGCAAAGAGAUGAAGAAAGAUAUAGGGAACAAGCAAGAAUUCAAACCAAAAUUUUGGCAACACUACCGUAGGAAAGAGGCAAAAUUUGAAAAGAUGGAAAGAUGUUGAUAAGAUUGACAACAAACCAACUAAAUUGAAUAAGCAAGGAGAGAACAUGAUCUUGAGAGAAGAAGAUGAUAGAUUGAAGAGAGCAAGAUCACCGCAACCCCAGAACAAGAAAAUAGAAACUAGAUCAUGAGAAGAAAGAAUGAAGAAGAAAAUGACAACUACUAUCACAAUUGAAUUUGACAAGGAUCCUUGCAAGAAGAGUAGAACGGAGUUUUUGGAAAACCAACAACAAAAAGANNNNNNNNNNNNNNNNNNNNNNNNNNNNNNNNNNNNNNNNNNNNNNNNNNNNNNNNNNNNNNNNNNNNNNNNNNNNNNNNNNNNNNNNNNNNNNNNNNNNCUUCGUCUUGGGGGUCACCACUUUAGAUUUCUUACUCGUGGCGGCAGAACCCUCUGUAGGUCCUCAACGUCUGUGUUGCACUCCCUAGACCACUUCUUGGAGUCCUUGCUGGAGGUCUUGUCGGUACUCUUGUUCUUCUUCGCCCCUGUAGCUUUGUCGGCAGGAGUAAGCGCGUUGUCGAAGAUGCAACAACUCCUUUUGGGUAGAGCUUAUCCGUGCAAAGGACUACGCUUUUCUUGUCGGUGUGGACGUUGAUGAAACUCAUUGACCCUAGCAUCUCUUGGGUGUUGUAGGUGUAAUGAGAAGCCCACGUGAAUUUUUCCAUAGCUAGGUGGCCGUGGAUUCUAUUGUAUGGCAGCGGUAUCUCGUGGACAUCAAACACGAACUUCUUUGUCCUGAAGUUGAGCUCCCUGUCGAACGUCACCAGCAAGGUAAUCUUUCCCUUCGGCUGGCUCCUUCCUAGGUAGACCCCCUCCAAUGUCCUCGUUGGCUUGAGUUCCGAAUCAGUGAUUUGUAGUCGCUUGAUCAUGUGAGGUGAUAUCAAGUUCAAUCCGGCCCACCGUCAACCAACAUUUUUGUCACUUUGAGGUUGCAGAUUGCUGGUGAGACCGACAAUGGUCAACACCCGAUGGCAGGGGUGUAGUCGGGGUGAUCGUGAGCAUCAAAAAUGAUGGGCAUGUUGGACCACUUGAGGGGCUUUUGUGCCUCCAUCAUUGCUUCAACAACAUUGAUCUCAUGGGCCCAUUGAUUGAUAUGCCUAUAAUAGGUGUGCAAACAUGCACCUCUCGCAAUGCACAUGGAGUAUUUUUCCUUGUGGAAUUUCUGGCCAUCAGAUCCUUCUCCAUCCUUGUCAUCACCAUUAUCGUAUUUAGAUUUGUUAACAAGGCCUCUAGCAGGCUUCUCCUUCUGGUGUUUAGUCUUUCCGCGGAGCCCUCCAUGGUCGCCACGGUUCUUCUUGCCGAAACCGGCGACACCAUCUUCGCCCUUGUUCUUGUCCCACUUCUCAUAUUCUUGUUUCUGCUUCUCGGCAAGCUCCUUGACUCGUCGGCACUCCUCGAGGUCAUGGCCAUUGGUGUGGUGGAUCUUGAAGUACAACCCAUCAGUAUUUCCAGUUUUCUCACCAAAUGCGGCUUCAUCGUCACAUGAGCACCCGGUAGCUUCCUUCCCGGACCCUUCCUUCUUGGCUUUCUUGUCAGUGUUCGAGUUGUCGAAUCCCUCAACAGCCAUCACUACCUUACGUUUGCGCUUGCGAUUAUGCUUCUGGCCUUUCUUCUUUGAGGUUGAUGCAUCCUUGUCGUCAGAGUCAACCUCCAUGCCAGCAUCUUCCGAGGGAAGUCUCCUCCCCUCACGCAUCUUGUUGAUUCUCAUCUACUCCUGCAUCCGCUUGUUGCAUACGUUCGUGUGGAACACGACAAUAACUAUGAUAGGAUGAAUGUCAUGAUGUUGUGUUGCAUGUGGCUGAAGCAUUGAAUAUACUUAUGGAGAAACUUGCCAUCCCUCUAGGUAAGUACAUGCAUGUCAGUGGGCUCACCAGGGAGCUUGUGGCCCCCAAGGUACAUGCCAACGAACUCGUCACACAAGUCCUCCCAAGAAAAGAUGGAGUUCGCUGCAAGUUCAUGAGGCAACACCUCACAUUGAGCUUGAGUGCCAACAAGAAGUAGUUGUUAAAGACCUUAUUGUUGUGUUCACCGACUGCUUGCACUGCUAUAGUGUAGAUCAUGAGGAAUGCUGACCAACUGAUCUUCCAUCAUAUCUCUUUGGCAAGUUAGGCUUGAAACUCUUUGUGGACGCCCAACGGACUUGCCGCAGCUCACGGGAAAACGUCAGGCAAGCCAACUUGUAAGGCAGGCUGUCGGGAAACCUGAUGUAGGAUCAAAAACAUCUUUCCCAAUACACGAAUUAGACUAACGACGUGCCUCCCGCCGCUGCUCGAUCGUGGCCUGGAUAUCCUCCAUCCACCGGUCCUAUAGGACUUGGCAUUAAUCUUGUUUCCUGAUAACCCACAAGUGUAGGGGAUCGCAAUAGUUUUUGAGGUUAGAGUAUUCAACCCAAAUUUGUUGAUUAGCCUCAAGGGGAAACGAAAGAAUGUUCUCAAGUAUUAGAAGCUGAGUUUGUCUGAUUCAACCACACCUGAAACAUUAGUGUCUGCAUGCAAAGUAUGAGUAGAAAAGUAGUAUGAUAGCAACGGUGCCAGAAACAGAUCUGUUGACGGCAGACUAUUCCUAACUGUUGUAUCAAUUGCGUAAGUAAGUUGCACGUGGAUAGGGAACUAUUCUUCCCCGGCAAUGGCUCCAGAAAAGUCUUACAUCAAGUAACAGCAAAGUAGCAAGUAACAGUAGUAGAAAGGAACAACAGUAGCAAGGAACAUCAGUAGUGACAGUAGUAGCAGCAGCAGUAGGAACAGUAGCAGCGACAGAGUAACGUAGCAAGGAACAAUAGUAAAAGACUAAUAGGCAGUGGAUCAGUGAUGGAUGAGUAUGACGGAUGUGAUUCAUCAUGUUAGAGUUAUAACACGGAUAGAUAAGUAACUAGCUCCAAUUCGUCAAUCUAAUGUAGGCAUGUAUUCCGUAUGUAGUCAUACGUGCUUAGGGAAAAGAACUUGCAAGACAUCUAUUCUCCAUCCCUCCUGUGGCAGCGGGGUCCUAAUGGAAACUAUGGGAUAUUAAGGUGCACCUUUUAAUGAAGAACAGGACCAAUGCAUUAACACGCGGUGAAUACAUGAACUCCUCCUACUAUGGUCAUCUCCGGGAGUGGUUCCGGCUAUUGUCACUCCGGGGUUGCCGGGUCUUAACACAUAGUAGGUGACUACAACUUGCAAGAUAGGAUCUAAAACACACAUAUAUUGGCGACAACAUAAUAGGUUCAGAUCUGAAAUCAUGGCACUCGGGCCCUACUGACAAGCAUUAAGCAUAGCCAAGUAGUAGCAACAUCAAUCUAGAACAUAGUGGAUACUAGGGAUCAAUCCCUGUGAAAACUAACUCGAUUACAUGAUAGAUCUCAUCCAACUCACCACCGUCCAGCAAGCCUACGAUGAGAUUACUCACGAACGAUGAAGAGCAUCAUGGAAUUGUCGAAGGAGGAAGGUUGAUGAUGUCAAUCGCGACGAUUUCCCCUCUCCGGAGCCCAAAACAGACUCCAGAUCUGCCCUCCAGAUGAAGAACAGGAGGUGGAGGUGCCUCUGUAUCGUAAAACCCGAUGAAACCUUCUCUCUGAUUUUUUUUCCGGGGAGACGAAAUACAUAGAGCUGAGUUUGAGGGCGGUGGUACCACGUGGGCCCCACAAGCCCUCACGGCACGGCCUAGGGGGGUGGCCGCGGCCUGUGGGCUUGUGGCCCACUGGCACGUCCCCUCUGGUGAAACUUUGCGCAGGUAUUUUUCUUUUAUUCCAAAAAAAUUCUCCGUAAAUUUUUAGGACAUUCCGAGAACUUUAUUUCUGCACAAAAACAACAUCAUGGCAAUUCUGCUAAAAACAACGUCAGUCCGGGUUAGUUCCAUUCAAAUCAUGCAAAUUAGAGUCCAAAACAAGGGCAAAAGAGUUGGGAAAAGUAGAUACGACGGAGACGUAUCAUUUCCAUCGUAGGCACGACGACACCAUGGGCAUCUCAUCCUGCAUGUAGACCCGGUGAGUCUGACACUUUUACUGUCGAGAUGACUGCAUUGUGGGUGUUGUGUUUACACUGGACCCAGCAGCAAGCUUCAUUGGCGUCAUGUGCCGCUCUAGUGAGGGCCCUUCCUCUCCUGGCAUGUUGUGGUUGGUGAAGCUGAGGAGGCUCUGGAUAAUAGCUCUACACUCCUUCAUCUUCUUUGGUGCAGGAGGGAAUUCCAGCAACAGCUGGGCCUGUGCCAAGGUUUCAUCCGAUGUUUUUUGGCAUGGCAUGGCACGAUGUGUGGGUGGCACUCUUACUUAUGACCGAGUCAGAAGAAUCUCCAUCCCGCCCUUGUGUACGCUGUCUGUUCUCACCAGGAGGUUGGCGAUGAUCUUGGCCCUAUGUGUCUUGGGAAUUAAGUACAUGGGUUGUAGUGAUUUUGUCAUGGUAGAUGUCUUGCAAGAUGACUAAGUAUAGGAAACAUUGCAACUAAAUGGUUGCUUGUACGGGGUUCAUCGGGAAUAAGAGACAAGGGUUUAGCCAGGUUCGGCCCCUCUGAGGGAGGUAAAAGCCUAUGUCCUGUUAGUGUCUUAUUGAUCACGAUAACCUCGGUUACAAGGGUGUGAAAUCGCUAACCAAGAUCUCGAGGAUUUCUUACUUGAUCUCUCUCCCUCAAGGGCUCCUAUUUAUAUAUAGGUUGAGGUACAGAGGUUACAAUAGAAUCCGAGUUGUAGUACAACCAGUGUCCUAGUCUACUUCCACUUUCCUUUCCUUUCAAGUAAGGGAAAGUCCUUACGACUCCCUCCUUGAGACGGCCCACCGAGAACUGGUCCACGUCCAACCUUCUUCAAUCAGUCACCUCCUAGACCUUGAACUUCAGGGCUUCCACGGCGCAUAUAAUUACUUUGGUUAUCAGCCGCCACUUACACGUAGAGCCAUACCCUUGUUGGUUCAUACCGUGGGGCAUAUCGACAACAUUAACACCAUGGUUAACUUGGAUUUAUCCAUGUUAAGCUCCAAGAUGAAAUGAAGUAAAAAACAUAAAUAAUCUUUGUUCAAAUCUGUAAGCUGGCAAUUUUUCCUUUAGCUACCGCGUCAAGGUACUACCCGGUCAAAAAAUCAUGGUCAGGACAUUUUCCCCUUUCUAGACUUAGCUUCUUUUGCGCCACCACCAUGAUGACAUCAUCUUACUGACCUCUCACAUGUUUGUGUCAUCAUUAUGAAUAUUUAACAAAACGUCAGAUCCGGUGAAGCAUGGGAAUUGAGGCAUUUUUGUAGCAACCAAUUAUUGCACUGGACCAUGAUUCCACCGCUCUGUUUCGGUUUUCCUUCCUUAUAAAUAGACCUAUGAGGGUCCGAGAUACAUUUUACCCUCUUCUUCUUCCUCUCGUGUCCACCACCACUUUCGAGCCUGCUGGUGUCUUCAGUUGUGACCAAGAUCAUCCCCACGCCAUGUUCACCGGAACUUAUUUACAUCACAUGUGGUUUUCCUCCGAAGUGCAGUUGAAUCGAUUCUCCUCUUCUUGAAGUCUUGUAAGUCCCUAUUAAUACUUGUUAGGUCAUCUUUGUUCUUAUUGGUUCAACAGAGUUUAUUAGAGUUCACCAAAGAUUUUAGUUGUAGAUCUAAUAGCUUCCAAAGAUUCUUGUUGACAACACGUAGUUUUGCCUCCACCGCAUUUACAUGGUGUUGUAGAUUCGCAAUAAUUUAUCCAUGAGAUUGUGCAAAUGCUUCACUUCCACUCCCUCUGCUGGUUUCUUAAGGAAUUUAUUUUAUUUUUCCCAAGGUUUAUUAGAUCCAUCCUCAAGUGAAAAAUGUUUGUCCAUAUGAUAAUUUUGCUUAGUCCUUGUAGGCCCUUUUACUUUACUUCUUAGCCAUCUUUUGCGAACACUGUCUCAUUCCUGCACGUGUCACUAUACCACAUUACCAGAUCGUUUACUACUGUCAAUUCUGUCAACCUUGUUCGAUUAUCAAGGAAUCCUAUCAUUAGUCGUCUGUCUUAAAACCCAUAUUGCGGGAAGACUCUAGAUUUCCUUGAAAUACCCGCCAAAUCUUGCUCGCUUAUAAACCAUCUUGAUCAUUGGUUUGAGUACUUGUGUCCAGUUCAUUUAUUUAGUGAAUCUCAUGACCCGAACGCUGUCUUAUUUGCUUUAUCCUUGACCUUGUAGUGACUUCUCAGAAAUAUCGAUGGCCCCAAAAACCCAUAUGUCAGUACUUACAGUAGAAGAUCUUGUGGGCAGGGUCUUUUCCCGAAUGAGUCACAAAUCAAUUGGCAGGCACCGAACGAAGAAUCUUCCCACAACCUCAAUGGGGUGAAGUCGUGAUUUUUCAUGAUCCUUUACAAAGUGGUUUCUGACCACCCGGGUUGAGAUUCUUCAGGGACGUGCUCAACUUCUUUAGCCUUAGUCCGCAAGAUAUCGAUCCCAAUUAAGUUACCAAUCUUUGCCAGUUUCAAUUUAAUUGCGAAGUGUAUCAUCAAGUUGAACCAAUUAUCAACUACUUAUGUGAAUUCUUUUAUAUUAACCAUCAAACAUAGUGUAAAGAUGGACCUAGUGUAGAACUUUGCGAAGUCUAAAUUUAGAAAAGGAAAAAACACUGCUUUUCGUGACGCCAAGUUGGCGACUAAUUCCAAAGGUUGGGUUAAGACUUGGUUCUAUUGCAAGAAUACUGCCCCUCGAGGUUAUAAUCGUCUACCGGGUUAUAGUCUGGAACAACUUAACACCAUUGUUGCCUUUCGGGGUUGGCCAUCCGAUGAGGAAAGGAAACAAAUGCCACCUCUCUGCCUAAGAUUAAGUGCUUUGAUGACUCAUGGUCUCACUAGGAUUGAACUAACUAGGUGUUGGAUUAGUAGGCGAAUUCAACCCCUUAGCUUGAGUAGCGACUUGAUGUAUAACUAUACAGGUGAGUCAACAGAUGCAUGAUGCCUUAGCCAAGUCAACUUGUUUGAAGAUAAUGUUACACAAAACACCAAGAAGUUUUUUGGUGACUCUAAGGAGAAGUGUAGUGUGACUGAAGUAUGCCCUAGAGGCAAUAAUAGAUUGGUUAUUCUUAUAUGUCCUUGUUGAUGAUAAUCGCUUAUUAUCCAUGCUAUAAUUGUAUUGAUUGGAAACUCAAAUACAUGUGUGGAUACAUAGACAACACACUAUCCCUAGUAAGCCUCUAGUUGACUAGCUCGUUGAUCAAAGAUGGUCAAGGUUUCCUGGCCAUAGACAAGUUUUGUCACUUGAUAACGGGAUCACAUCAUUAGGAGAAUGACGAGAUGGAGAAGACCCAAACUAUGAACGUACCAUAUGAUCAUGUCCGUUUAUUGCUAUUGUUUUCUACAUGUCAAUGUAGCAGUUCCUAUGAUCAUGAGAUCAUACAACUCCCGGACACCGGGGGAAUACCUUGUGUGUAUCAAACGUCGCAACGUAACCUGUGACUAUGAAGGUGCUCUGCAGGUAUCUCCGAAGGUGUUUGUUGGAUUGGCAUGGAUCAAGAUUGGGAUUUGUCACUCCGUAUGACGGAGAGGUGUCUCGGGGCCCACUCGGUAAUACAACAUCACAAAAAGCCUUGCAAGCACUGUGAAUGAGGAGUUAGUCACCGGAUCUUGUAUUGUUGAACGAGUAAAGAGACUUGACGGUAAUGAGAUUGAACUAGGUAUAGAGAUACCGACGAUCGAAUCUCAGGCAAGUAACAUACCGAAGGACAAAGGGAACAACAUAUGGGAUUAACUGAAUCCUUGACAUAGAGGUUCAACCGAUAGAGAUCUUCGUAGAAUAUGUAGGACCCAAUAUACACAUCCAGGUCCCGCUAUUGGUUGUUGACCGGGUAGUGUCUCGGGUCAUGACCGCAUAGUUCUCGAACCCGCAGGAUCUGCACAUUUAAGGUUCAGUGACGUUUCGGUGUAGUUGAGUUAUAGGUGUUGGUGACCAAAGGUUGUUCAGAGUCCGAAUUAGUUCCUGGACACCACGAGGACCUAUGGCAUGGUCUGUAGGUAAAGACUGAUAUAUAGGAUGUCCUGUUUUGGUCACUGAAAAAGUUUCGGGUUCAUCGGUAGUGUACCGGGAGUACCGAGAGGGUGCCGGGGGACCACCUGGAGGGGUGUGAUGACCCAAAGGUUUCAUGGGCUGUGAGAGGAGGUAGACCAGCCCCUAGUGGCUGGCCAAAGCCUCCCCUAUGGUCCCAUGCGGCUAAAGUGGAGGAAUAAGGCAAAAAGCCGAAAGGUGGAAAGGGUUUAUAAAUUAGGAAGGAGUCCUAAUAGGAUUCCACCUCCCUUGUGGGAGGUCGAUUCCUCCCUUGUUGGCUCAGCCGAACCUCUCCUUGGAGGAGGGGCCAAGGAAGCCUCCUCUCCUCUCCCUCCUAUAUAUAAUAGAGAUUUUAGAGGUGAGGGCUAACCCUAAUUGCCACAUGCUCCCUCUACUUCUCUCUUGAUCUAUUUCUCCUCUAUUCUAGUUCGGCAGUGCUUAGGCGAAGUCUUCCUGGAUUAGUUCACCACCACCACCACCAUGCCGCCGUGCGCUAGAUCGUCGGCGGAGAGCAUCGUCGAGUUGUACGUGUGCUGAGGGAGGAGGUGCCAUCCGUUCGGUGCUAGAUCGGGACGGAUCGUGGGACAACAACGAUUUGGAUCACGAAGACGUUACACUACAUCAACCGCGUUUCUUAAUGCUUCUCGCUUAGAGAUCUAUAAGGGUAUGUGGAUACGAACUCCCUCUCAUAGAUGAUCAACACCAUGAUAGGUCUUCAUGUGCGUAGGAAUUCUUUUGUUUCCCAUGCAACAUUCUCCAACAAAUUGUAGUGUGACAGGGUUGGUUCCAUUCAGCGUGACCAAUCCGGUUCCUCCAGUAAGCAUCCCUAUACUUUUUCAUUUUCCCUUAUCAUAACUUGUCUUCAUCUAUCUUACUUGAUCUCCGGCUCUAUCAUGUUUGCACGAAGACCCUAAUUGGUGGAAUGCCAGUGCUAGAACUCCUAGUCCUCCUCAAGCUAGACAAACAAAUGGAUCGGCUGAUGAUACGACUUCUAGAGAAGAGUGAGAGGUAGAACUCAACUCACUUGUUUGCCUUUUCGUCGUACUUGCUGACGCUCCAUCUUCUCAGGAUAACAUUGAGACCAGCAAGGCCGACAACAUUGAGGUAAUUUAAAUCUCAUCAAUAUCAAAUGUAUAUCAUGAAGAGGACCACACAAGUCGUCGGAAAAGUUAAGUUUUCGCACCCACAUGCUUACUUAGAACCAAAAUUUCUUUGGAAGAAAAAUCAACAUGCCGGUUCAUCAAAAUUAAAGACCCGAAGCAGCUCCGGGGAGUUAUCUUCAGGCUUACCCCUAGAGCCAGCCACCCGCAAGUAGAGAGUUGAGAUUCCUCAUAGUCCAACCUUAUCUCGUCCUCGAGCCGAUCUUUUAAAAUAACCACUCAUUCCCUGUGACUUUGAUUAUCACGAAUCACCACCUUCUUCUGGAGAUUCGACGGUGACUCACCUUCUUGCUUUCACCAUUAAUCAUGGGUAAGUGUUAUAAAGCCAUGCGUUUUCUGUCAUUACUUAUUGUUGCUUUUAAUACCAGGGUUACUUUCAUGGUUUGGAGAGCCAAAGACUUUGCGAAGAUGAAAACUGGCUGCUUAUCCUCUUCUGCUGCUGUUCGUGCUAAUAACCAAGACCCGCCAAUAAUUGAGUAAGAAAUCUAAGAUUAACGUGCUAGCCAGCAUGACAGAGACUUAGGGAAUGAUCUAUCUCGGGAACAUGACCCGGUUCAUGUUGAAGAGUCGUUGAUAAUGGAAAAACCAAUCAAAGAACAGGCUGCACAUGAUGACCCGACCCCGCAUAUUGAUCUGCCAACUGCUUCUCGUGCCUCCGGUCCUGUUGACGAGGUGGAUAAUGUUAUCCCAUCUCCCACAAUGGGUGAUGCAGAAAUGACCAUCAUGGUAGAGGUUUACAAGGCACCCGAAGCUUGAACUGCUUUAGCCAAAAUUGUGGCCAAGCAUGAGCCGACAAUGUCAUCAUAGGGGAAAACCACAUUGGAGCUUCACAAGUUUGCCAACCUUGGUGUCAUUGAUCUGCACGAAGAAUAUUUGACUGAGUUGUAUGAGAUCCGAGAUGCUGAGAUGGAUUUGAUAAGCGUGCUCAAUCGCAAAUACGAGAUUUGCAAUAUUCUUCCUUAUUUUCCUUUGUUAUAUAUAAUCUUGUAGAACCAAGGGGUGGCUUAUUGAAACAAGUAAUGAGCUAAGUCUUCCAAAAUGUCUUGUGAACUUGUGCAAACUGAGAGUAUCCCCCAAGGAUCGGGUCAGCAUGAAAAUAAUGAGUCGGUGCUUUAAGAGGCCUGAAAUUAUUAUGAUGAACUUCGAGAUGUAGCCCCCAAGGGCCGGGUCAUUUGAAAAUAAUGAGCUAGUGCUUUAAGAAUUUUGAAACCAGUAUGAUAAACUUCAAUCUUUAUCCCCCAAGGGCCGACUCAUCCCUUUGAGAUAGUCGGUUAUUCUCAUAAAAAAGGAAAUGUCUUGCAUUCGCCCACAUGGGCCAGCUCAUCUCUUUUGAGAUAGUUGGGUCUUCUCAUAAAGAAAAGGAAAUGUCUUGCAUUAUCCCUCAAGUGUUGGGCCGGCUGCCUACGGCGGCUUGGCUUUUGUAAACUAACACUGAUGUUUUGUAUGUUGCAGGAGAUGUUGUAUGAGGUCGAAUCAUGUAUGACCAUCUUGCAAAAGAAUCUUAAAAAAGAGAGAGAGCUGAAGAAAAAGACAGAAACUUUGGUGACUAAUACGCAAGACUCUCUGUGUCAAUCGAAUGGCCUCUUGAAUAAGCCCAAAGUGAGUUUUGAUAAAGAAAGAGCCACCCUAGAAAAGCGUGUGGAGGUAGCCAAAAAUCAACUGGUCUCGUCAAAAGAGGAUUUGAAAACCUUGAAACAGACUAUCACCAAUAUGACUCUCGCCAUGUUUGGUACCUUUAUAACUUCUCUAGAUUCAUAAUCCGGGUUAAAUUUUUGUCGGCUUAUAGACGUGUGUUUCCUUUUUGCAAGAAAAAGAAGCAAUAAUGUUGUUCAACAGCCGAUAGUUAAACUAAAGGCCAUAUGAACAUAGCUGGAACAAAUGUUCACAGGAUGUGUCUAGGCAAUAACGACUGUGAAGAACCUCGGAAAUCGUCCACUAUGGAUCAAAGAUAUGCUCAAUGACACUACAAGAAAUAAGGUCAAUUAUGACUCCCUAUAUUGGUCACUGAUUCGUCAUUGUUGUUGUUUAUUGACCUUUUUUUGACAAAAUUUACAACGUCAACAGUUGGCCGUCAAGAAUGAACAAACAUGACCUUUCUAAAAUUUUGGUCGCAGGUCUCUAUCGACCAAAAUUUUGGUUUUGUCAUUACCCAUUUGUGUGAGCCACGUAGGAUCUGACGUGGCCAAGCUGACGUGGCAUUGCUAGUGACCAAAUGGAAUCAUCAUAAAUUUCAUAUCCCUGUCCACCAAUCUAGCUACAUGGGCCUGGCCCAAUGCCUAUUUUACUAUUGAAAAUGUCUGAUUUGUUUGGGUUGAAGCAUUUUUUUGCUAGAAAGACACAUAUCUCAGGAUAAGCCCAUUAAAAAUAAGUACAACAGAAUAACAGAUUGUAAAUAAAAUGUAUAUUUCAUUUAAAUAGCAUAUCACAUAAUAUACAAUACAUCAUCCACCGACUCCACGCAUUAAGGUUCAACGUCUAACAAGGGCACAUCAAAAUAAUUUUACAUGUGCACAAUAAAAUACUUCUGCAAAAACACCUGCAAGGUUCUAGUAUACAAGGUUCAACGCAUUAAGGUUCAUCAUCUUCCUCUACACAAUAUGCUCUUGCCAUUGCCUCAUGCAAGAAGAAAAUGAUGGUAAGGCUUUCAGACCAAGGAAACUAGUAAAAAUGCACACACGAUAACCAAUGAUAAAACAGUACAAAAUUGUUGCUGCAUAUACUUUGCUGCUUUGCUGAUAAAACAGUAGAAAAUGGUACGGUGUCGGUUAGUUUCAUCAAACUCCUACUUUCUUGCAUUCCAAACAAGUCGAGACAUGCUAGCGUGACAGAUGCUGCAUAUACUUUGCUGCUGCAUAUACUUUGUAUUCUUCGGACUAGAGUAUAUAGAUUGUAGUAUACAUGUUGCAAAAUAAUAUGUAUUGUUGUAUGAAACAAAAAAUAUAAUGUUGCAUAUUACUGGAAAAUAGUAUCCUUGUGAAUUGUGAGUGUGAAUAUGUAUAAUUAUUACUGUUGUACGUGUAUAUAUAUAUCGAUGGCGUGACGCUACUGGUUUGCACUAUAGUAUAGCUACAUGGACCCAUGUAGUAUAUGUUUGUAUACCUGAUACUUCUUGCUGUAUGCACUCAUUUUUGAUCCAAUUGCUAAUGAACAGUAAAUGUGAGUGUCCCACCUGCAUAUUCAUAGCCAUCCAACGCUCCAAAACCCUCCCCUCAUACAACACACCUCUUUCAUUUUUUUCUUCCUUUUUCAAUCGAUAGCACUUAAUGACCAAUUUGUGCAAUAGUAUCAUGACCUAAUGGACGCAAAAGGUCAUAACGUUAUGGGCUUGGACCCUCAUAGACUUGCCAUAACUAAUUUCGGAAUUUUGGUCAUGGAUCAAUGAACAAUUAAACCACCGUCAUUUUUUGGGUCAUAAUUGAGCAUUUUUCUUGUAGUGUGAUCUGUCGACAGUACCCAAGUGGAUCAAGGAAGUAAGGAGGUCGGCGUCUCAUGUCGGGGCCAAUAUGGCAAUUGCUCAUGUGAAGGCUUAUGUGUCUGAGAUGGACCGAAAAACAAUUGAAGGUGGCUUUAUUGAUAUUAACAUUGAUUGAUCGAAGAUUUUGGAAAAUGACUAUGCCAAAUGUGUGAAGGAAAUUCGCAUGAGGCGACCCAACUUGCUAAUGAGCUAGAUUUAUUGAUUUAUCAACCCGUCUACUCCAAGGAGAACAAAUUCCUCAACCCGCUUGGAGAUAAACCCAUCAAGAUUUUUCCACUUUGAUGUAAGCAAACUUUUGCCCCUCACGUUGAUCCGUCUCUAAUCAUCCUUGGGGACUCAAAUUUCAAAGCUUUAACAACCAUUGAGUGGACUCGAAGGGACCUCCAAACCAAACUAGAUGAGAUGUCACAAGCCGACUGAGAGGCUUCAAGCUUAGGAAGCCAGUAGAAGGACGUCAACCUGGAGGAUCCAAGAGAUGGCAUGCAAGAGUAGUCAUGCUCUUCUUUGAAUUAAAUAACUUUGAAUAUUCUGUGGCUCAACCAUGUCUUAUAAUAUGAGUAGUCUAAAUAUUGAGCCACAUGUUGUGCCCUCGAGAACUUGAUACUGAUCAAGUAUUAUUCCAUGAAAGUAAUGAGCCGGCUAUUGCCCCGGUUUUUUGAUAUGCUUGUGUGUACUAUUGUUCUUCUCCAACAACCGGAUGUUGUCAUCUUCACGUACACCGAGCAAGAUGAGGUGAAUCUAGUAUUUAACAAAAGGCAUUGAUAAUUGUAUCAAGUAAAAUAAGUGGUCAUCGUAAGAUCAAGUAUACCAUCAUUAAGAGAGGCUAAAAAUAACCCGGAUGUCUAUUGUUGACCCGGCAAAAUAAGGAGAUAACUAUACCUGCAAAUUGCGAUAAAAGAGAUAUAUAUAUAAUUUAGAAGUAAGUUGCAUAAUUUAUAAGCUGGCUAUCGAGGCUCAAGUCUUGCUUCGAUGAAGAUCACGUGAUAGCCCAUGAGUUAUCCUCAAUCUCUGUAAGUCGGCUCUCAUGUGAAUUAAGCUUGUGUUUUAACCAAUAUAAGUUCAGGGUCCAUAUGUAUUGACCUAUCAAGAGUACACUCGUUCACCUUUUUGGAGUAGCUUGUUGUGAACAUGCAAGUUUAACCAAGUUUGAUAGUGGUUUUUAGCCAGGUCAAGAGGGAUAUUAAAGGCUAACUCGAUGAGUCACGAUCCCCCAAGUGACUUAUGGUCAAAGAAUAAAGACUCAUGCACAAUUCUGGAGAUGAAACGACAAAGACUCCGAGUUUCAGGCGUGCUGGCUUUAUUGUAUUGAACACAAAGGUAUAUACAUAAGUAUGUACAAUGAGUUGAAGCCAGUCGCUCUAAGUAUAAUAAGGCCAAAGGUGAGCAAUAGUCAAAGGUCUAUUGGUCUCCUCUUCAGAGGUGUGUGACAUAUUUUGUUCAAGUAUGUCGAUCAGGUAAUAUGACAUGUUCUUGAGGUUCUUGCUGAUGAAAAAAGGCCCUUCCCAUGGUGGAGACAUCUUAUGCAUGUUUGGUCUUGGAAUCAAACGGAGCACUAUGGCGCCUUCCUGGAAAGUCUGGCUGCGUACUCUAUGGCUAUGAUAAGAUGUAGGUAUUGUUGGUAGAUAGCUGGUCGGGAUGCUACAAGAUUGUGUUCCCCAUACAACACAUCUAGGGAGUCCUGACGGGCUUGUUCAUUAUCGGUCUCAACAUAAGGGGUAACCCUAAGGGCAUCUAUUUGAUGUCACUUGGAAAAACAGCUUCUGCUCCAUAAACUAGAAAAAAGGCAUGUAGCAUGUGGAUCUGUUGGGAGAAGUCCUUAUGCUCCAAAGUACGGCCGGGAGUUCUUUGACGCAGGAGCCAGUAUUUUUUCAAGUGGAACCAUACGCAGGGGUUUAAUUCCACCCAGUAUUUCCUGAUUAGAUCAUUCGUCUUGUCCAUUAGACUGUGGAUGUGCACCUGAGGCUAAGUCCUGCCGGAUAUGCUCUCGUUGGUAGAAAUGUCCCAUUGCUCCCUUACAUAAGUUGGUGCAACUAUUUGUGAUGAUCCUAUGUGGGUACUCAAAACAGAAAUCAGUUUUUUCAAAAACUUCACCGUCGUCUCAGCAUCACAAUUACUGAUUGGUUGUACUUCAACCCACUUGGUAAACUUAUCAACCGCCACCAAAAGGUGGGUCUUAUUAUAGGAGGAUGGCUUGAAUGGCCCGACCAUGUCUAGCCCCCAAACUGCAAAUGACCAAGUGAUUGGAAUCAUCUGCAGUUCUUGAGCCGAGACAUGAACAUGUUGUGCAAAUUUCUAACAACUAUCGCACUUUCAUACAAUGUCUUUUGCAUCAGCAUGCGUGGUAAGCCAAUAAAAACCAUGCCAAAACACCUUGGUUACUAGAAAUUUUGAGCCACAUGAUGACCACAGUCACCAGCGUGGAUUUCAUUAAGAAUCUCACGACCUUCCAUAGGGAAACACAACGUUGAAUACACCGGUAAUGCUUUCUCGGUGUAACUCUAGAUUGAAAAUAGUCAUGGAUUUGGAAACCUGAUAAUCUGAAGAGCGAUGAAUUCAUCGUAUGGGAGCUCACGACGAGUCAAAUAAGCCAGGUAGGGAAUAGUCCAAACCGGAAUAGCAUGAAGAACCGCCAGUAGUUGUGCCUCCGGGUCAAGAAUAGCUAUAUCUUCCUUUGAUGGCAACUUGACUAAGGGGUUAUAAAGGACAUCAAGGAAUACGUUGGGAGGAACCUUCUUAUGCUGAGAGCCUAGACGUGACAAAGCAUCGACAGCCUCAUUGAGGCGAUGAUCAAUAAGAUCAACCUGGUAACCCUGAAGAUGACAUGUCAUGACGGUAACUUCACGCCGAUAAGCCACCAUUAGAGUGUCUUUUGAAUCCCAAGUCUGUGAUACUUGCUGAGCCACGAAACCUGAGUCUCCCAAACAUAUGACCUGACUUAAGUUCAUUUCUAAGCCAUACAGAGCCCAUGGAGGAGGCCUUCAUACUCAGCUGGAUUGUUAGUACAAGGAAACAUGAGCCAUAGAACGUAACAAAAUUUCUCACCUCGUGGGGAAGAAAGAAUACCUCUAGCCCUCGAGCCUUCCAGUUGCCUAGAGCCAUCGAAUUGUAUCGUCUAGUAUGUGUUAUGUGGCCUUUCCUCUGGGAUUUGCAUCUCAGUCCAAUCAUUAAUAAAGUCCACUAAUGCUUUGGAUUUAAUAGCCGUCCGAGGCACAUACUUCACAUGAUGUGGUCCAAGCUCGGUUGCCCACUUAGAGACCCAACCAGUAGCCUCCCGGUUUUGUAUGAUAUCUCCAAGAGAAAAUAGUGCUUCAAUUCGCGGUUGACCAUGAAGACACCACAUACCAGUUUCUCCCAAUGUGGGUAACAUUGCUUAGAUUAGGUCAAAACUUUGCUCACAUAAUAGACAUCUCGAUGGACUGAAUAUUCCUUCCUAGCCUCCUUUCACUCCACGACCAGUUCUACACUCACCGCUUUAUUCUUGGGAGCGAUAUACAUGACCAUAGGAACUUUAUUAAUUGGGGCCACAAGGAUAGGUGCCUUAGCCAAUUAGUUCUUAAGAUCUUCAGAAGCUUUGGUUACAGCAUCCGUCCAGACAAAAUUUUCUACCAUCUUCAUUAACUAGUUCAGAGGAAUCGCUUUCUCACCAAGGUGGCUUGCGAAACGUCCUAACAACGCUAUACGUCCCACCAUGCAAUGGACAUCAUUGAUGUUGGAUGGCUUGGGGAGCGAGGUCACCACUGUGAUUUUGUUCGGGUUGUCCUUGAUACCUCAUUCUGACAUCAGAAAUCCCAGCAACUUUCCCGCAAGAACACCAAGCACACAUUUGGCUGGAUUAAGCUUCGUCAUCUUGACCCGAAUGUUGUCAAAAGUAUCUUUGAGAUUGUCCAACAUAGUCUCCUUUUUUUGGGACUUGACCACAAUAUCGUCAACAUAAGCAUGGACAUUACACCCAAUGUGUAGGUGGAAAAAGUUCUGUACACAUCGCUCAUAAGUAGCCGCCGCACUCUUAAGCCCCAAAGGCAUAGAUACAUAGAAGAAUGAUCCAAAGGGGGUGAUGAAAGUCGUCUUUUGUUGAUCCUCAAUAUCCAUAUUGAUCUGAUGAUAAUGGUAAUAAGCAUCCAAGAAGCAAAAAUGCUCACAACCAGGUAUAGAGUCGAUAAUCUGGUCAAUGCAAAGAAAAGCAAACGGGUCCUUGGGACAAACUUUGUUAAAAUUUGUGCAAUCAAAAGAUAUACACCACGUGUCGUUCUUUUUCAAAACUAGCACUCGAUUUGCCAACCACUCUGGGUGGAAGACUUCAAUGAUGAACCUGAGGUCUAGGAGGUGGGCCACCUCUUCACCGAUAGCAUUUCACCUCUCCUCGUGAAAACGACAGAGGUUCUGUUGUACAUGCUUCAUCUUUGGAUGCACAUUGAGGUGUUGCUCAACGAGUUCUCUUGGCACACCAGGCAUGUCGGAAGGUUUCCAUGCGAUUCUUUCGGAUGAACUCGAUGAGCGUGCUUUCCUACUUGGGAUCCAUGCAUUUCCCAAUAGUGAUUUGUUGGGAUAAAUCACCCGGAGUGAAAUCAAUUUGUUUGGUAUCCUCGGUCGACUGGAAUUUCAACAGCAGGUCAGACUGUAUGGUGGGCUCCUUGAGGGGUGCCAUGUCGGCCGGUCAAACAUUAGUUUUUUAAUAUUCUAGCUCCUCUCGUGCACAAGAUGACUUAGCAUAGGCUUCAUCUCCUUCCUCACAUUACUAAGAUGUUUUGAUUGCCAACAUUGGUGAUUGUUACGUUUGGCCCAAGCAUAUUAAGUUUGAAGUAGACAUAGAAAGGUCGUGCCAUGAAACAUGCAUACGACAACCAUUCGAAGAGGGAGUGAUAAGGGCUCUUUAUUUUGACAACCUAAAAAUAUAGAGAUUCACAUCGGUAGUUGAAUUCCUUCCCAAAAGCAACUUCGAGUGUGACUCGCCUAAUUGGAUAUGGUGACUUCCCAGGGACAAUUCCAUGAAAAAUUGUGGAAGGGGGCUGCAAUUUUUCUCGGAGAGAUUCAUCCAUUGAAACGUGUCAUAGUAUAAGAUGUUGAUACUACUUCCCUCGUCCACGAAUACAUUUGUAAGCGUAUAUCCACCAACUUCACGUGCCACUAAUAAAGCAAGGCUACCUGGGUUGUCGACUCAAGGAGGAUGAUUAUCUCUUAUCCAAGUGAUUGGGUAUUGAGACUAGUUUAUGUAUGUGGGAAGAACUCGCUCGACCUUGCUAAUGGAUCUAUGAUGAACCUUGCGGGCAUGCUCUAUGUGCUACUGGUGAACACAUGAUACUGCUUGUUGUUCAACUGCUUGGAUUGAACUGAAACCCGGCUUGGUCGUUCUUUUGCUGAUUAUCUUGACCAGACCAUUGAUGUCCACCACUACAGUUGUUGUGAUUCUGAAAACUAGCUCCUGAGCUGCCAGAUGCGUGGAAACCUGGACCUACAAAACCACUAGAUGAACAAGCCCCAGACCCGACAGCACCGGGACGACCGGGAUUUCCGCCACCACCGCCUCCAUGGUGACUCUGAUACACUUGGUUGAGGAAUACCUACAUGAUGUAACGGUUCUCCCCGAGUGAGUGGCUGGCUUAUCUCGGAAACAAUGUUUGAGAUAAGGGGAUUUAAGUGUUUCUUCGAAAUUACACGGCCUGUUCCCAUUGUAUGAUCUCCUGGAGUUGUUCAACCGUUGAUUCUUGAAGCCAGUAUUGGUGUUCGCGACAAAGUCUGAUCCUCCCUUAGGGUGUUUGCGCUUUCCACGGUUGCCUUCAUUGCUAUAAUUUCCAUUGUGCCCGGAAUGGUGUUGGUUGUGACCCUUACACCAUCUUAAUUCUUGCCUUUGGCAACUUAUCAUCUUCUAAACUAGGAUAUUUUUUGAUGUCCAACUCAACAUACCUAGUAAGGACAUCCAUAAGGUCUCCCAUGUCUUCAAUAUUUAGCUUGAGGCACGCACACUUUUGAACUAGAGGCUCGAAGGGGCAAUUGUUCUCCAAAAUCAACACAUCAGGGGCAGUUGUUAUACUGUGUGAAGAGUGAAUAAUAUCCAUGACGUGGUGAUACGUCUCCAACAUAUCUAUAAUUUAUAAUUAUUCCAUGCUAUUAUAUUAUCAUUCUAGGAUACUUUUUUGGGAUUUUAUUUAGCAUUUAAUAUUAUAUUUGAGCACAAACCUAUUAAGCCAGUGCCCAGUGCCAGUUGUUGUUUUCUACAUGCUUUUUGCUUUUCACGUUUACAGUACCAAACGAAGUUCGAUUGCCACAAAAAAUUAUUAUGAUUUUUUCUGGACCAAAAGAAGACCAGGAAGCUUUGGUAGGAUACCAUUGGUCUCAGGAGGGAGACACGACCCAACAAGGCACGACCAGGGUGGAGGGCGCGCUUUGUUUCCUCGUGCUCCCCUCGGUUGCCUCUUGGUGCCCCUUUGUGGCAAAUAGAUUCACAUACCUAGUACAAACCCUAGAGAUCAAUCCGAAAUACUUUUUUCACCGCCGCAAGUGUUUGUUCCACUUUAAGGCCAUCUAGAGCCUUUUUCAGAUGCCCUCUCACAGGGUGAGCGAUCAUGGACGGCCUCUACAUCAUAGUUGCUGCUCUCGUGGUGAUGUGUGAGUAGUUCACCACAGACCGACGGGUCUGGUGUUAGUAACUAGAUGCUUAUCUCUCUCUCUCUCUCUCUAUCUAUAUAUCUCUCUCUCUAAAUCUUGAUCUUGAAUACAAUGACCAUCGUAUCUUUGCUUUGAUCUACCCGAUUUAAUUCUUAUGUGCAGUGCGUUUGUAGGUACCCGAUGAAUUGUGUGUUUAUGAUCAUAUUAUCGUUGAUAAAUACCCGAGUCUUCUUUGAAUUCUUGUUUUUGAAUAUAAACAGUAGGGUAAAGGCCCACUGUAACUUUCAUUAAAAUUCGACAUAGAAUCAAAGUGAGUCUGGUAGGCUUGAGGUAAGCCCAAACAACUAGAAAGGGAGAGGAAAGAAAAAGAAAAAAGAGAAACGAAGAGAAAUAACAAGGUUUACAACACGAACAGAAGGAGACUAAGAAAGCUAAAAGAGAAAAGAAAAAACUAAUAUACACCUAGUAGGAUUACAACAAGGCUUCCAGCCAAGUGGAGAACUGAUGAUAUUUUUUCUCUUCAGCGUGUAUUUUAACAGCUUUAGCUCCUCCAUGAAGAUAAAUUUACAACCCCGAUAUGAAGGAAUUAUAUUCUUAAAGAUUUUAUUAUUCCUUGAUAUCCAAAUAGCCCAUGACCCAAGAAUGAUGAUGUCCAUAAAGAAGGGGUAGUUGAGAUUUUCAGUCAGAUCUUGGUAAGCUUCUAACACUCACAAGUUAUGUGAUCUUGUGGGACACAUAAAAUCGCAGCAUUGAAUGGCAAAAGGGCAUCCCCAAAAAAUAUGAUGUUGGGUUUCUUCCUAUUCACAACCCCUCACUUCACAAUUAUAUGCUUCAAGCUCAAUACCUUUUCUUCUUAAAAAAUUCCUUUUAUUGAUUCUAUCAUGCAACAGGAUCCAAAAAACACUUUGUGUUUUGGUUGUCAAGAGCUCUUCCAUAUUCAACCGAAGUGUGCUGGAGUUUGCUUGUACUCAAUCAACACAUUGUAAGCUUUGAUGAAAGCGUAGAAUUCGUCUCCUCAUAUAUAGCUCCAUGUGUCCACUAACUCCAAGUAACCAGACUGUCAUAGAGUGAUACAUAAUUUUCCGUUUCCAAGAAUUCCUCAUAUGCUUGAGUAGACAAUGGCUAAUAAAAGAGAACUUGAAGAUAUUCAGUGUUGAUCACUUGAUGGAAAUUUAUGUUUGGAUUUUAGGCAAAAGAGUAAAGAUGAUGGAACUUGUGUUUCAGAACAAAUUGAUUCCACAUGUCGUCCAAGAACAAGGCACUUUUACCAUCCCCGAAAUUACAUCUCGAGUUGAUUUGAAAUGAUCAAUGACUGCUAGUUUUAGCUCCACCAAAAAGAUCCCACCUUAUGAUCUGCUGGAAGUUGCCAAUUACGAUAAUAUGUCUCCCAAAUCAAGUGUACCCAGUGUAAGUCAUGCCUAUUGAAGAACUUAUGUUGAUUUUUCAUGAGCAGAGUCUUGUUUUAUGUGUAUAUAUCCAGGACUCCCAAUCGUACUUGACUCUUGAGUCUUCAAACUGUGUGCGAUGCCACUAGACCUGGUAUGUGGUCUUCCAAGUCAAGGCUUCUCCAUAGACAAUGUCUCAAGUACUUAAUGAUCUUCUUCUUGAUGGUAAUAUGUAUGUCCAAGUAGCACAUGAAGAAAAUUGAUUGAAAUUGAAUCACAUAUUUGACCAGGAGCAACCUACCAGCUUGAGUCAUAAAGGUAGAAAUGCCAGCUAAUCUCUUAGCAAUUCUGUUGACUAUGGGUAAACAUUGUUUCACUGUUGGCUUAUAGAUUCCAAGUGGCACGCCCAAGUAUGUAAAAGGAAAACGUCCUCUAGCAUAGGUGUAAUGUGUUUUUUAAAAUGCUUACUCUAUCUUCUGCAAUAUUUAUGGGCACCAUGAUAUAUUUCCCAUAAUUGACUUUUAGUCGAGUGGUUGAGGCAAAUGUUUUCAAUAAAGCUUUUAGACAUAUCAGUUGUCUUGCAUCUUCUUGCAUAAGAACUAGAGUGUCAUCCGCAUAUUGUACUAUUGGAAAGUCAGGGCAGAAGUUGACUUGAAGUUGUGGUUUAAUUAGAUCCGGUCUCAUGGCCUUGUUAAGUAUAGAUGGAAGUAGGUCAGCUGUUAGGAAAAAUAUUAGUGGAGACAAGGGUCCCCUGUCUAACUCCUCUUCUAGAGUAAAUUUAUUUUCUAUGGACUCUACUCAACAUCAUAGCAGAUGAGGCAGAUGUCAAAAGUACUUGCAUCGAGGAAAUCAAUUUUUCUCCAAAUGCCUUUGCUCUAAGAAUAUCAAUAAUAGCGUGAUGCUCAAUUUUGUCAAAAGCUUUCUCAAUUAAUCACUAAUAAAUUUUUUUUGAUUUGUGACACUGAUGAAUAUAUUCAUAAGCCCAACCAAAACAGUCUUCAACCACCCUAUCUUUGAGGAACCCAUAUUUGUUAAUAUGCACCAUCUCAAGGAUAACCCUUUGCAAUCUAUUGGCCAACAGCUUGGUAAUUAUCUUAAGCACUCCAUUAAGCAGAGAGAUUGGUAAGAAGUCAUUAGGGGAAACUGGAACUUCUUUUUUUUGGAUCAAGGUACUAAAGGAUGUAUUGAUUCUUUCAAGAUUAACAUUACCUGCAUGGAAAGCCAUGAUAAGCUUAGUAAUAUCCACUUUAAUGAUGUCCGAGUAGGCUUUAAUAAACUCAUUAUUGAAUCCAUCAAGACCUGGAGAUUUGUAUGUAGGAAGGUUUUUUACCACCUCAUCAAUUUCCUCCUAUGUGAAAGGAUUUUCAAGAUCCUGGAAAAUCUCAGGAUCUACUCUAUGGUCAUAUAGAUCAUUCAAAUCAUCUUCUCUGAAUUUCAAAUACGAUUCUUAUGUGCAUGAUCAUUAUAGCUUCGUAAUUCUCUUCGAUGUAUUGAUUUGCUUUGGCCAAGUUGAUUUAUCUUUCUUUAGUGAGAUGUGUGCAUUGUUGUCAUACCAGGUGUUUGUACGACUUUGCUAUGCUAUGAUUAUAUGACAUUUGGAACCAGUUUAAACUAUUUGAUGUGCUUGUCAUGCAUGAAUUGAUUGCUACUUGCUUUCUUGCUUAUUUGGGUUUUCAUUUGCCUUAAAAAUUCUCCUUGUCUUAAGAGUCGUCUUCUUGCUCCAAAUCUUUGCCCAAUGACCAUUCCAUGUGUAUAGGACCUAAAGCUAUUUUUGCAAAACAAUAUUUUGGACAAAAAUCAUUUAUUCAAUUUAGGUUUUACCAAAACCCCUCAAUUGAUGUUUGUACUACAAGUCCUAAAAUUGGGUGGAUGAUUUUUACCUAAAGAAUUUAUUUGUAACCUACCAUAUAUAAGACUUCCCAGAAUCACCAAAAAAUUAUUUUAAAAGUUAUUUUCUGUUUUUUAAUACCAUUUUGUGAGGCUAGAAAAGGUCCCUUAUAGGGAAAAUUACUUUUAGUACAUUCAAAAUAUUUGAGAAAAUUUAGGGAAAUUCUCUUGACAUAUAUUUUCCAUAUACAAGAGUUACAACACCUGGUCAUGUUCAAAAUAUUGGACAAAACCCUCCAAAAUCCUUUCUACUCUUUACAAGCUUUUGGAAUAUUUCUAUAAGAAAUAUUCCCAAUAAAUUGUAAGAAAAUUCUAGCAAGUCACACAUGAGAUAUGUGAUGCUCUUGCCAAGUUUCAUAUCAAUCCAAAUUGAUUUGGUACACCAAAAUAUUCGAAAACCUUCUCUCUCCAGAAUUAAAUUUGAUCAACUCUACGUUGCCAAGAUUCCCCCAUUUGAUCCAAAACUUCGUGAUCAAGCUAGAAUCACCAAAUACUGCCUCCACAACAAGUUGUGCAUUAGGAUGAAUGUUUUUGCAUGGUCAGAUCUACAAAAACCUGAUUUUGUCCAUUAGUAGGGUUUUUCAUGUUUGCAAUGUCAACUUUGCUCAAAUGAGAUCGAACCAUGUGACCCCUCUCAUUUUUACUCACCAUUCAAUCCUGUCAAAUAUCACAGUAAGUGGGUAAAAUUUCCUUGCUCAAAACAGCAUCGAACACCUUCCGGUGGUUUGGUAAAAACAUGUUUUGGCCACUUCUACCAUUCCGCUUCACCUUAAUUCUUACCAAAGCUCCUUCUAGUUACCAUUCACCCCGACUAAAAAUUUCAGGCCCUCAGCUAAAUCGUUGGUGGGGUAAAAACCUCAAUUAACCCUCUGGACAACCAUGGUCUACCUCCCUCACCAAUUUCCUCUUAUUAUAGUGAGCUCCCAGAGCAUCCAAGCUGUCGGUGCACCAAUGACCAGGGUCUCCGGUGCCCCGUGUUGGGGAACAUCGCAUGGGAAACAAACAUUUUCCUACGCGCACGAAAACCUAUCAUGGUGAUGCCCAUCUACGAGAGGGGAUGUGUGAUCUACGUACCCUUGUAGACCGUACAGCAGAAGCGUUAGUAAACGCGGUUGAUGUAGUGGAAUGUCCUCACGUCCCUCGAUCCGCCCCGCGAACCGUCCCGCGAUCAGUUCCACGAUCUAGUGCCGAACGGACGGCACCUCCGCGUUCAGCACACGUACAGCUCGACGAUGAUCUCGGCCUUCUUGAUCCAGCAAGAGAGACGGAGAGGUAGAAGAGUUCUCCGGCAGCGUGACGGCGCUCCGGAGGUUCGUGAUGAUCUUGCCUCAGCAGGGCUCCGCCCGAGCUCCGCAGAAAUGCGAUCUAGAGGAAAAACCGUGGAGGUAUGUGGUUGGGCUGCCGUGGAAAAGUCGUCUCAAAUCAGCCCUAAAACCUCCGUAUAUAUAGGGGGAAGAGGGGGAGCCUUGCCUUGGGGUCCAAGGACCCCUAAGGGUUUCGGCCGAGCCAAGGGGGGAAUGUCUCCCCCCCCCCAAACCGAGUCCCACUUGGUUUGGAAGGUGGAGUCCUUCUCCCUUUUCCCACCUCCUCUUUUUUUUCUUUUCUCUUUGAUUUUUCUUCCUAUGGCGCAUAGAGCUCUUUUGGGCUGUCCCACCAGCCCACUAAGGGCUGGUGUGCCACCCCCAAGGCCUACGGGCUUCCCCGGGGUGGGUUGCCCCCCACGGUGAACUCUCGGAACACAUUCGUCAUUCCCGGUACAUUCCCGGUAACUCCGAAAACCUUCCGGUAAUAAAAUGAGGUCAUCCUAUAUAUCAAUCUUCAUUUCCGGACCAUUCCGGAAACCCUCGUGACGUCCGUGAAUUCAUGCGGGACUCCGAACAACAUUCCGUAACCAACCAUAUAACUCAAAUACGCAUAAAACAACGUCGAACCUUAAGUGUGCAGACCCUGCGGGUUCGAGAACUAUGUAGACAUGAACCGAGAGACUCCUCGGUCAAUAUCCAAUAGCGGGACCUGGAUGCCCAUAUUGGAUCCUACAUAUUCUACGAAGAUCUUAUCGUUUGAACCUAAGUGCCAAGGAUUCAUAUAAUCCCGUAUGUCAUUCCCUUUGUCCUUCGGUAUGUUACUUGCCCGAGAUUCGAUCGUCAGUAUCCGCAUACCUAUUUCAAUCUCAUUUACCGGCAAGUCUCUUUACUCGUUCCGUAAUACAAGAUCCCGCAACUUACACUAAGUCACAUUGCUUGCAAGGCUUGUGUGUGAUGUUGUAUUACCGAGUGGGCCUCGAGAUACCUCUCCGUCAGACGGAGUGACAAAUCCCAGUCUCGAUCCAUACUAACUCAACGAACACCUUCGGAGAUACCUGUAGAGCAUCUUUAUAGUCACCCAGUUACGUUGCGACGUUUGAUACACACAAAGUAUUCCUCCGGUGUUAGUGAGUUAUAUGAUCUCAUGGUCAUAGGAACAAAUACUUGACAUCCAGAAAACAGUAGCAAUAAAAUGACACGAUCAACAUGCUACGUCUAUUAGUUUGGGUCUAGUCCAUCACGUGAUUCUCCUAAUGACGUGAUCCAGUUAUCAAGCAACAACACCAUGUUCAUAAUCAGAAGACACUGACUAUCUUUGAUCAACUGGCUAGCUAACUAGAGGCUUGCUAGGGACAGUGUUUUGUCUAUGUAUCCACACACGUAAAUGAGUCUUCAUUCAAUACAAUUAUAGCAUGGAUAAUAAACGGUUAUCUUGAUACAGGAAUUAUAAUAAUAACUAUAUUUAUUAUUGACUCUAGGGCACAAUUCCAACAGUCUCCCACUUGCACUAGAGUCAAUAAUCUAGCCCUCACAUCAUCAUGCGAAUUACAUUGUAAUAAAUCUAACACCCAUACAGUUCUGGUGUUGAUCAUGCUUUGGCCGUGGAAGAGGUUUAGUCAGCGGGUCUGCUACAUUCAGAUCCGUGUGCACUAUGCAUAUAUUUACGUCCUCUCCUUCGACGUAGUCGCGGAUGAGUUUGAAGCGUCGUUUGAUGUGUCUGGACUUCUUGUGAAACUGUGGUUCCUUUGCUAAAGCAAUGGCACCCGUGUUGUCACAGAACAAGGUUAUUGGAUUCCUGCGCUUGGCACCACUCCAAGAUCCGUCAUGUAUUGCUUCAUCCAGACACCCUCCUUAGCCGCCUCCGAGGCAGCCAUGUACUCCGCUUCACAUGUAGAAUCUGCUACGACGCUUUGCUUGGAACUGCACCAGCUUACCGCACCCCCAUUAAGAAUAAAUACGUAUCCGGUUUGCGACUUAGAGUCGUCCGGAUCUCUCUCAAAGCUUGCAUCGACGUAACCUUUUACGGCGAGCUCUUCGUCACCUCCAUACACGAGAAACAUCUCCUUAGUCCUUUUCAGGUACUUCAGGAUAUUCUUGACCGCUGUCCAGUGAUCCACUCCUGGAUUACUCUGGAACCUACCCGCCAUACUUAUGGCGAGGCUAACGUCCGGUCUAGUGCACAACAUUGCAUACAUGAUAGAACCUAUGGCUGAAGCAUAGGGGACGGAGCGCAUAUGCUCUCUAUCCUCAUCAGUUGCUGGGCACUGAGUCUUAAUUAAUCUCGUACCUUGUAAAACUGGCAAGAAUCCUUUCUUGGACUGUUCCAUUUUGAACCUCUUCAAAACUUUAUCAAGGUAUGUGCUUUUUAGAAAGUCCUAUCACGCGUUUUGAUCUAUCCCUGUAGAUCUUAAUGCCUAGAAUGUAAGCAGCUUCUCCUAGGUCCUUCAUAGAGAAACUUUUAUUCAAGUAAUCCUUUAUGCUCUCCAAAAACUCUAUGUUGUUUCCAAUCAGUAAUAUGUCAUCCACGUAUAAUAUUAGAAACGCCACAGAGCUCCCACUCACUUUCUUGUAAAUACAAGAUUCUCCAACCACUUGUAUAAACCCAAAUGCUUUGAUCACCUCAUCAAAGCGUUUGUUCCAACUCCGAGAUGCUUGCACCAGUCCAUAAAUGGAUCGCUGGAGCUUGCACACCUUGUUAGCAUUCUUAGGAUCGACAAAACCUUCGGGUAACAUCAUAUACAAUUCUUCCUUAAGGAAACCAUUAAGGAACGCCGUUUUGACAUCCAUCUGCCAGAUUUCAUAAUCGAAAAAUGCAGCUAUUGCUAACAUGAUUCUGACGGACUUAAGCAUCGCUACGGGUGAGAAUGUCUUACCGUAGUCAACUCCUUGAACUUGUGAAAAACCCUUUGCCACAAGUCCAGCUUUAUAAACGGUCACAUUGCCGUCAGCGUCCGUCUUCCUCUUAAAGAUCCAUUUGUUCCGAAUAGCCUUGCUGCCCUCAGGCAGUACCUCCAAAGUCCACACUUUGUUCUCAUACAUGGAUCCUAUCUCGGACUUCAUGGCUUCUAGCCAUUUGUUGGAAUCUGGGCCCACCAUCGCUUCUUCAGAAUUUGCAGGUUCAUUGUUGGCCAACAACAUGAUUGAUAAGACGGGACUACCGUACCACUCUGGAGCAGCACGUGGUCUCGUCGACCUGCGUGGUUUGACAGAAACAUGAACCGGAGUUUCAUGAUCAUCAUCAUUAACUUCCUCCUCAACCGGCGUCGCAACGACAGAGGUUUCCCCUUGCCCCGCGCCACCAUCCAGAGGGAUGAAAGGUUCGACAACCUCGUCAAGUUCUAUCUUCCUCCCACUCAAUUCUCUCGAGAGAAACUCCUUCUCGAGAAAAGCUCCGUUUUUAGAAAGAAACACUUUGCCCUCGGAUUUGAGAUAGAAGGUGUACCCAACUAUCUCUUUUGGGUAACCUAUGAAGAUGCACUUUUCCGCUUUGGGUUCCAGCUUUUCAGGCUGAAGCUUUUUGACAUAAGCAUCAGAUCCCCAAACUUUAAAAAACGACAACUUUUGCCUUUUGCCAUACCACAGUUCGUAUGGUGUCGUCUCAACGGAUUUUGAUGGUGCCCUAUUUAAAGUGAAUGCAGCUGUUUCUAAUGCAUAACCCCAAAACGAUAACGGCAAAUCAGUAAGAGACAUCAUAGAUCGCACCAUCUCUAAUAAAGUACGAUUACGACGUUCAGACACACCAUUACGCUGUGCUGUUCAAGGCGGUGUCAACUGUGAAACAAUCCCACAUUGUCUUAAGUGAGCACCAAACUCGAAACUCAGAUAUUCACCCCCACGAUCAGACCGUAGGAACUUGAUCUUCUUGUUACGAUGAUUUUCAGCUUCACUCUGAAAUUGCUUGAACUUUUCAAAUGUUUCAGACCUGUGCUUCAUUAAGUAGACAUAACCAUAUUUACUCAAAUCGUCAGUGAAGGUGAGAAAAUAACGAUAUCCGCCGCAUGCCUCUCCGCUCCUCGGACCACACACAUCGGUAUGUAUGAUUUCCAACAAGUCACUUGCACGCUCCAUUGUUCCGGAGAACGGAGUUUUAGUCAUCUUGCUCAUGAGGCAUGGUUCGCACGUGUCAAGUGAAUCAAAGUCAAGUGACUCCAAAAGUCCAUCGGCAUGGAGUUUCUUCAUGCGCUUUACACCAAUAUGACCUAAGCGGCAGUGCCACAAAAAUAUGGCGCUAUCAUUGUUAACUCUAACUCUUUUGCUCUCAAUGUUAUGUAUGUGUGUAUCCCUAUCAAGAUUCAAUAUGAACAAUCCUCUCAUAUUGGGUGCAUGACCAUAAAAGAUGUUACUCAUAGAAAUAGAACAACCAUUAUUCUCUGACUUAAAAGAGUAACCGUCUCGCAAUAAACAAGAUCCAGAUAUAAUGUUCAUGCUCAACGCAGGCACUAAAUAACAAUGAUUCAAGUUCAUAACUAAUCCUGAUGGUUACUGAAGUGAAACUGUGCCGACGGCGAUUGCAUCAACCUUGGAACCAUUUCCUACGCGCAUCGUCACUUCAUCUUUCGCCAGCCUUCGUCUAUUCCGCAGUUCCUGUUUCGAGUUGCAAAUAUGAGCAACAGAACCGGUAUCGAAUACCCAGGCACUACUACGAGAGCCGGUUAAGUACACAUCAAUAACAUGUAUAUCAAAUAUACCUGAUUUUUCUUUGGCCGCCUUCUUAUCUGCCAGAUACUUGGGGCAAUUGCGCUUCCAGUGACCCAUACCCUUUCAAUAGUAACACUCUGUUUCAGGCUUAGGUCCAGCUUUGGGUUUCUUCGUUGGAUUGGCAACUGGCUUGCCGCUCUUCUUUGAAUUACCCUUCUUGCCUUUGUCGUUUCUCUUGAAACUAGUGGUCUUAUUCACCAUCAACACUUGAUGCUCUUUACGGAGUUCAGACUCUGCGACUUUCAGCAUCGCAAACAACUCGCCGGGUGACUUGUUCAUCCCUUGCAUGUUGUAGUUCAACACAAAGCCUUUAUAGCUUGGCGGCAGUGAUUGAAGGAUUCUAUCUGUGAUAGCCUCUUGCGGGAGUUCAAUCCCCAGCUUAGCUAGACGGUUUGAGUACCCAGACAUUUUGAGCACAUGUUCACUGACACACGAGUUCUCCUCCAUCUUGCAAGCAUAGAAUUUAUGGGAGGUCUCAUACCUCUCGAUCCGGGCGUUCUUCUGAAAGAUAAACUUCAACUCCUGGAACAUCUCAAAUGAUCCGUGACGCUCAAAGUGACGUUGAAGUCCCGGUUCUAAGCCAUACAAGACUGCAUAUUGAACUACUGAGUAGUCCUCCUUACGUGCUAACCAAGCAUUCUUAACAUCCUGAUCAACCGUAGUGGGAGGUUCAUCUCCUAGCGCAGCAUUAAGGACAUAAUCCUUCUUCCCAGCUUGUAAGAUUAGCUUAAGAUUACGAGCCCAGUCUACAAAGUUGCUUCCAUCAUCUUUCAACUUAGCUUUCUCUUGGAUCGUAUUAAAAUUCAGGGUGACUGCCGCGUGAGCCAUGAUCUACAACACAAAUAUAUUCAAAAUGGACUUAGACUAUGUUCAAGAUAAUUAGAGUUUAACUUAAUCAAAUUAUUCGCUAAACUCCCACUCAAAAAGUACAUCUCUCUAGUCAUUUGAGUGGUUCAUGAUCCACUUACACUAGCUCAAGUUCGAUCAUCACGUGAGUUGAGUAUAGUUUCAGUGGUAAGCAUCCCUAUGCUAAUCAUAUCAUCUAUAUGAUUCAUGAUCGACCUUUGGGUCUCAAGUGUUCCGAGGCCAUGUCUGCACAUGCUAGGCUCGUCAAGCUUAACCCGAGUGUUCCGUGUGCGCAACUGUUUUGCACCCGUUGUAUGUGAACGUUGAGUCUAUCACACCCGAUCAUCACGUGGUGUCUGGAAACGACGAACUGUAGCAACGGUGCACAGUCGGGGAGAACACAAUUUCGUCUUGAAAUUUUAGUGAGAGAUCACCUCAUAAUGCUACCGUCUUUCUAAGCAAAAUAAGGUGCAUAAAGGGAUUAACAUCACAUGCAAUACAUAAGUGACAUGAUAUGGCCAUCAUCACGUGCUCCUUGAUCUCCAUCACCAAAGCACCGGCACGAUCUUCUUGUCACCGGCGCCACACCAUGAUCUCCAUCAACGUGUCGCCAUCGGGGUUGUCGUGCUACUCAUGCUAUUACUACUAAAGCUACAUCCUAGCAAAACAGUAAACGCAUCUGCAAGCACAAACAUUAGUAUAAAUACAACCCUAUGGCUCCUGCCGGUUGCCGUACCAUCGACGUGCAAGUCGAUAUUAUCUAUUACAACAUGAUCAUCUCAUACAUCCAAUAUAUCACAUCACAUCGUUGGCCAUAUCACAUCACAAGCAUACCCUGCAAAAACAAGUUAGACGUCCUCUAGUUUUGUUGUUGCAUGUUUUACGUGGUGACCAUGGGUAUCUAGUAGGAUCGCAUCUUACUUACGCAAACACCACAACGGAGAUAUAUGAUUUGCUAUUUAACCUCAUCCAAGGACCUCCGCGGUCAAAUCCGAUUCAACUAAAGUUGGAGAAACGGACACUUGCCAGUCAUCUUUGAGCAACGGGGUUACUCGUAGCGAUGAAACCAGUCUCUCGUAAGCGUACGAGUAAUGUCGGUCCAAGCCGCUUCAAUCCAACAAUACCGCGGAAUCAAGAAAAGAUUAAGGAGGGUAGCAAAACGCACAUCACCGCCCACAAAAACUUUUGUGUUCUACUCGAGAAGACAUGUACGCAUGAACCUAGCUCAUGAUGCCACUGUUGGGGAACAUCGCAUGGGAAACAAAAAAAUUCCUACGCGCACGAAGACCUAUCAUGGUGAUGUCCAUCUACGAGAGGGGAUGUGUGAUCUACGUACCCUUGUAGACCAUACAGCAGAAGCGUUAGUGAACGCGAUUGAUGUAGUGGAACGUCCUCACGUCCCUCGAUCCGCCCCGCGAACCGUCCCGCGGUCAGUCCCACGAUCUAGUGCCGAACGAACGACAUCUCCCCGUUCAGCACACGUACAGCUCGACGAUGAUCUCGGCCUUCUUGAUCCAGCAAGAGAGACGGAGAGGUAGAAGAGUUCUCCGGAAGCGUGACGGCGCUCCGGAGGUUGGUGAUGAUCUUGUCUCAGCAGGGCUCCGCCCGAGCUCCGCAGAGACGCAAUAUAGAGGAAAAACCGUGGAGGUAUGUGGUCGGGCUCCCGUGGAAAAGUCGUCUCAAAUCAGCCCUAAAACCUCCGUAUAUAUAGGGGGAAGAGGGGGAGCCUUGCCUUGGGGUCCAAGGACCCCUAAGGGUUUCGGCCGGGCCAAGGGGGGGAGGUCUCCCCCCCCCAAACCGAGUCCAACUUGGUUUGGAAGGUGGAGUCCUUCUCCCUUUUCCCACCACCUCUUUUUUUUUCUUUUCUAUUUGAUUUUUCUUCCUACGGCGCAUAGGGCUCCUUUGGGCUGUCCCACCAGCCCACUAAGGGCUGGUGUGCCACCCCCAAGGCCUAUGGGCUUCCCCGGGGUGGGUUGCCCCCCCGGUGAACUCCCGGAACCCAUUCGUCAUUCCCGGUACAUUCCCGGUAAUUCCGAAAACCUUCCGGUAAUCAAAUGAGGUCAUCCUAUAUAUCAAUCUUUGUUUCCGGACCAUUCCGGAAACCCUCGUGAUGUCCGUGAUCUCAUCCGGGACUCCGAACAACAUUCGGUAACCAACCAUAUAACUCAAAUACGCAUAAAAUAACGUCGAACCUUAAGUGUGCAGACCCUGCGGGUUCGAGAACUAUGUAGACAUGACCCGAGAGACUCCUCGGUCAAUAUCCAAUAGCGGGACCUGGAUGCCCAUAUUGGAUCCUACAUAUUCUACGAAGAUCUUAUCGUUUGAACCUAAGUGCCAAGGAUUCAUAUAAUGUCGUAUGUCAUUCCCUUUGUCCUUCGGUAUGUUACUUGCCCGAGAUUCGAUCGUCAGUAUCCGCAUACCUAUUUCAAUCUCGUUUACCGGCAAGUCUCUUUACUCGUUCCGUAAUACAAGAUCCCGCAACUUACACUAAGUCACAUUGCUUGCAAGGCUUGUGUGUGAUGUUGUAUUACCGAGUGGGCCUCGAGAUACCUCUCCGUCAGACGGAGUGACAAAUCCCAGUCUCGAUCCAUACUAACUCAACGAACACCUUCGGAGAUACCUGUAGAGCAUCUUUAUAGUCACCCAGUUACGUUGCGACGUUAGAUACACACAAAGUAUUCCUCCGGUGUUAGUGAGUUAUAUGAUCUCAUGGUCAUAGGAACAAAUACUUGACACGCAGAAAACAGUAGCAACAAAAUGACACGAUCAACAUGCUACGUCUAUUAGUUUGGGUCUAGUCUAUCACGUGAUUCUCCUAAUGACGUGAUCUAGUUAUCAAGCAACGACACCUUGUUCAUAAUCAGAAGACAGUGGCUAUCUUUGAUCAACUGGCUAGCCAACUAGAGGCUUGCUAGGGAUAGUGUUUUGUCUAUGUAUCCACACAUGUAAAUGAGUCUUCCUUCAAUACAAUUAUAGCAUGGAUAAUAAACGAUUAUCUUGAUACAGGAAUUAUAAUAAUAACUAUAUUUAUUAUUGGCUCUAGGGCAUAAUUCCAACAACCUGGACUAGUGCGCGGACACUAGUAGCCCCGUCCACACCGGCAAGGCUUGUCGCUGGAGCAUAGGGCGGAAGCAAGGCUCGGAAGCCCACCAAGUGCAGGCUGCAAUCCCCCGGCAAGUGCCCGCAUAUUGGGAAUGAAGAAGAGAUCCCGAUAGGAGCUCCCGUUUGGGAAGAUAGACACUGCCAAGGCGAGACCCUCCCGCCAAGGAAGAAGGACUGAGCCCCGGCAAGCCAUCACCUCCCAGAGGCAUCACCUCCCUCCUGGCCUACCUUGACGGGAAGAUUGACAAGGCCUCGGCAGGCCAUCACCUCCCAGCCGACAGGAACAAGAAGAGUCCCCGGCAAGGUAACCCUGCCGGGAAGGAAAAGAAGGCAUCUAUUCAUUCAUUCAUUUGUCUAGAUACAUUUGAUUCCACUUACAAAGUGUUGUUGUCCUAACCUAAAGGUUGUGUCUUUUGGCGAGGGACAACCUAUGCAAAGGAGUGAAGUUCAAGAACAAAAAAAGGCGGAGCCCGCGGCGCGGCUAGGGCUGGCUACCCAGAACCAGCAGUGUGCCGACGAGAACGGGAUCAGCUCCAGCAAGCACCGCCCGGCCCUCCUCUGGACGGAUUCCAGAGAGCAGGGCAUAGGAAGGGGCGAAGGAUCCGAAGCCUCCUCCUGGAACCAGGGGGCCAACACCCUCUCCGGUGAGGUGGCCCAAGCAUUGGGCAUGGAGAAGUCAGAGCUUGCGGAGGUGCCUCCCUCGCGAACACGAGGCACCGAUGCCAGCUCCGGCAAGGUUCCCCCACUAGGCGGGGGUAGGGCGUGAGCGGGCCCCGGCGGCAGGGCCAGCAGUGAGUCGUAGCUCGGGGAGUCGUACUCCGACUUGACCCCCCCCACGGAUCCCGACCUGCCAAGAGCACCACUGCCGCCGUUGUCCCCCUCGUCGCUAUCACUCGAGGAGGGACACUUGGCUUCGCUCGAGCCCUCUUCGCAGCAGCCGAGACGCAUACCUGUGCGCCCGUAAAACUUGACGGAUAGCAUAUUAUCCUCCGCUAGCUUAAAGCGAAGGAUCUGCCCAUCCUCGAGGCUAUGGGCGCGGGAGAAGGCUUUCCAGCCCCGCCCAAGCAGCAUGGAGUGGCGCUUUGGAUUCUCCACGCAUGCCUGCAUGGCGCCAUGGGAGCAGCCGGGCGCCCGCAACCACAAGAAAGGGGGCUUGGCGGCCUCCAUCGCCCUAGCGAAAGGGCGGGGGAGGUGCAGAUGACCCUGCAAAGCGUCGUGUAGCUCCACGACAAACUCCAGCGCCGUUCCAUCCGAGUGCCCGACAAGCCCAGGGGAAGGCGGAGACGUUGGAGUAGCACUCCGCCUCCCUUGGCCACGUCCCCCGCGUCCUCGGCCCCUCAAGCCUCUCCGGUCAUGGUCGACGGGUCUGCCGCUGGCUGCAGCCCUAGAAGUUGUGGCAUGAUCCGAGCGGGAUCCCCUUGCCACCCUGGCGCCUAGCGGAGGCUGGCCCCGUCCCCUAACCAUUGUUAUGGACGGGUGCCACCGACAAUGUUGAAAAUAAGCAAGAGAGACAAGGCGAUAGGCGUUGAAGGAUUUGAGAGUGAGAUGGAUGGGCAAAACCUCCGCGCAAACACCCGAAUUUACAGGGCAAAUCUCGAAGGCCACCCUUCUCGCUCCAGAAGCCACCGCCCCUCUCGCCCGUUCGCCCUCAAGUCAUGAGCGGAACUUGGAACCACCCUGAUCGCCACUUGCCCGAUCGCCGCUGCGCAUGCCCUACACGUGGUAGAAGCGUUUUCAAGGAAUAAAGGGGCCAUCACGCGCACGCCACGCACCCUCCUACUUCGCGUGAUGAGCCCGGCGCGUGCGAGUCCACGCACCGCUUUGGGCCUGGCCCAACAACACCUCGCAAGCGUGUGUGGACCAGGUCCGAGGGCUCGUGUCGAUGUACCAAAGACCGGGGUCUCCAGUGCCCCGGACUAGUGCGCGGACACCGGCAACCCCCUCCACAGCGGCAAGGCGCGAAGCUGGAGCAUAGGGCGGAAGCAAGGCUCGGAAGCCCACCAAGUGCAGAGUGCAAGCCCCCGGCAAGUGCCCGCUUGUUGGGAAUGAAGAAAAGACCCCGACAGGAGCUCCCCGCUGGGAAGAUAGACACUGCCAAGGCAAGACCCUCCCGCCAAAGAACAAGGACUGAGCCCCGGCAAGCCAUCCUUGUCAGGAAGAUUGACAUGGCCUCGGCAGGCAAUCACCUCCCUGCCGAGAGGAACAAGAAGAGGCCCCGACAAGGUAACCCUGUCGGGAAGGAAAAGAAGGUCGGAAGAGAGGCGGGGGGCCAGCUCGACUUCGCUUCCUGUGAACGCCUCCAUCGACGAACACACCAUCGCCGAUGCAUGGACCACACGUCCGCCCACACGCGAGCGGAACACCCCGAAGUUGCCACGUGUCGGUACAUGUCCAACCCCCCUGACGAGGUCAGGAAGUCUGUGGAAGCAUGUAAUGCACCGCAGUAAAACUGUGGCGGUCAGUCGGCCCUCUUCCAGUCGUGAACCCACCGUUCACUCGUUCAGCCACUAUGGUGAUCCCUUCGACUAUAAAAGGAGGCCCGAGGCUUAGUAGAAAGAACUUUUGGAUUUUUGACCAAUCGGAAGGCUGUAAGAGGGACAGAUCUAUAGUAAACUAAAACAAAUAACUAAACACAUGCAGGAGUGGGGUUUUAUGCACAAUGCGGCCCGGCCGUGGGUAAAAACGACCUUGCUAGGCCCUGACUGUUGGUUCUGCUCUUGCCGCGACCCCUCUCCCUGCCAAACUAGCAAAAGGGGACCGUUGAGGCCCCCAUAGGUGUCGAUCAGUUCACCGACACAAGGCCUUUACCCUAUUUGUUUAUUCCCCCAAGAUCCCUAGACAGGACUGGUCGCGGCCAUGGCACAAUGGGCAUGCCAUAGCUUGCCAAAUAGGCGCUCUCGAGCGUGCUACAAUGCACUUCUGCACUUGAGCUGCUGCCCAAUGGCAAGCCCAGGCAACAUCCGGCCUCUCCCUGGUGUCCUCCGAGGUGCCCUCUACAUCGUCACACGGCACUUAGUCGUCCCCCUCCUACUCUCCCCCUACUGUCUCUCCACGCGCGUGCCGAGCACCGCCCGGGCGGCCUAUGAGCUCGCUCACACGCAUAAUGCCCAUGGCCUCUCGCCACUCCUUUCCUCCCUUCCUCCCAUUCUAGACCAACACAAGGAGCACCUCUGACACACCCCUGCUCACCGCCUAUCCCUCCAGCAUGGGCUAGGUCCUCGCCAGCGCACUAGCGUGCCGUGGAACUCGGUUGGGCUACAAAAGCCAGCCCCGACCCCUUCCUCUCCAUCUCUGGCUUUCACGUACCCCCAAUCGCACUCCCACAUAUUUCCCCUUAAUUUUGGAGCUCCUACGCUCGGUAUCGAGCAUAAGCUCACGGCCUCGAGCCUCCGGCGUUUCCGUGGUAAAGCUCCCCCUUAGCUCCCAUUCUUCUUUGAUCUGGAUCCAACUCGACCUCUUGAACCAUUUGCCUCUGUUUCCCCCUCUGUUUGGUGCCUAGGACGGCCGGAGCUUCCUUUUCGAGCAGCACCACCACCGUACUUUCACGUCAUCAACGAACCAGGGGCCUCCGACGCUGCCCUCCGUUGCCUUCCAAUAUGGACAACCCCUGGAGCCCAACAGUGCCCACCAGCCCUCUUGCCAUCACCGGGGACACCUCGGUGAGCUCCACCACCACCCGUGGUGCAAGGAUGGAGAUGACAGGUAGGCCCCGCCUAUAAUACACCCUUUCCUCCCUCUAUCUCUCUAUGGCAGAUGGAUUCCACCGGUCAGGUUCAAACUCCAACCGACGUGCACCCCUUUGCCCACUAGGCCGAUUCCUUUAGGCCAGCUCGGGCCCCCCCUGUGUGGCGGCCGAGUGGAAGCAGUGUUGCUUUUCUUUUCUUUUAUUUAAUCUUGCAAAAAUUUCCUAGACUUAAAUAUUUAUCCAAAUGCAAUAAUUAGAAUUCCUAAUUUUUUCGAAAAAUUCAACCUAUUUAUUGGUGCCACUUGUGGAUUUUUUACAAAAAAAUUGAUACAUUGUUUGUAUUUAAAACCUAGUUUUGAAUAUUUUAAGCAUCUGCUAAAAUUCAUUAUGUUACUUUUUGCACUCCAAAACCAAAAUAUUUUAAUUUUUACAAAGCUUAUAUUCACCCUACUAUUUUACAGAAAGGUGUGACAUUUGGAAGAUUUUAUUUUCUCUAUUUUUGUCUUGGUCUUAUUAUUCUCGUAAUAAUUGUGAUGAUAGAUUGUGUUGUUGAUGAAGGAAUUGGACCAGAAGACUUUGAAGACCCCAAAGACUUUGUUGAGCCUGGCAAGCAACCCCUUUACCAUGACUUGAAACUCGUUUUGCAUAGAAAAUAGCACCUACUUUGUUGCAUUGGAUCAUGAAGACUAUGGUGCCGGCUUUAUGUGUUGCCUCCAUUAAUUCCUCAUUGAUACUUGCAUGACAAGCUCUACUUGUGCUUAGACUUGUGUGGUUGGGAAGUAGAUAUAUUGUUGUGUAGUCGCUACGGAAAUGGGAUGGGAUUAUGCAUGGUGUGGGAAAUAGCGGUGUUUUCAAAGACUUUUCGAAAACCCUAUCGGGUGGCACUUAUGCAUGAGGGAGAUGGUGUUGAGGUAGGUAAACACUUGAAAAGAAGUGUUUUACCGAGGCAAGUGAGUGUGUUGUUUCCGAAAACAGAUUGGUUUAUGUUGCGACCGUUACUCCAACCUUACAUGUAUAACCACGAUACACCUUAUGAGAUGGGGCUUCGUUGAUUCUUUUGAUUGGUACUAGAUGAGUGCCCGCAUUACUAGUGGCGGGGGCAACAUGGUUAUUCUCGAUACAGGGUCGUGCCGGAAAGGACAACCAUAGGUUGAUUUCACAGACAUCGGGCACACUGUUGCGUGCCCUCGUGGAUGAUACUUGUGAUGUACAUCAUGAGGGCUGGCCCCAACGAGUGGACUCUUGGUUAGUAUCGUCAUGGGAAUGGAAUUGUGCGGGUACUUACCUCGGGUAUGGAAAAUACCGCUAGUCGUGGAUUGAUAGGGAAGUUUCCCGAGUCUUGUUGGUAAAGUGUACAACCUCUGCAGAGUGUAAAACUAUUCGAAUGGCCGUGUUCACUGUCAAGGACAGUUGGAUGACCGCCCUUGUCUACGUCUAUUGUACAAAAACUCUGUGUGUGUGUGGGGGAUCGAUAUAAGAUGUGUCUAGAGGGGGGUGAAUAGACUACUUGUCAAGAUAAAAUUCCUAGCCUAACCCAAAUUCUAGUAGGGCAGAAAUUCAUAAGUUCUAACAAGUCUAGUGCACCCUACACAUGCUAGUCAACACAUAUGGCAGCGGACAAGUAAAGACUUUGCACAUGUCAAGGAGUAGAGGUUAGGAAGAUCAACCGCAUGAGGUUGACACGACGAUUUUUGGCAUGGUUCCAAUAGGUGGCGCUAUUGUACGUCCAUGUUAGUGUAGACUUCAACCCACGGAGGGUAACAACUGCAAGAGUCCACGGAGGGCUCCACCCACGGAGGGUCCACAAAGAAGCGUCCUUGUCUAUUCCACCACGGCUUACGUCCACGGAGGACUAGCCUUACUCAUGGUAGAUCUUCACGAAGUAGGCGAUCUCCUUGCCCGUACGAACAUUUUGGUUCAACUCCAUAACACGAAGUAGGAGGCUCCCAAGCGACACCUAACCAAUCUAGGAGGCACCAACCUCCAAAAGGUAAUAGAUGUGGUAGAUCAAUGAACUCCUUGAUCUUAUGCUUAUAAAGAUAGUCUCCUCAACACAAAUCACUCUCUAACAGAAUAUGCAUCGGUAGGAGAUAUUGAUUUGGUGGAAAGUAGUUUGGGGAGGCUAGAGAUCAAGUUUCAAAUGAUAGGAUUGGAAUAUCUUGGUCUCAACACGUGAGUAGGUGGUUCUCUCUCAGAAGAUGGAUUUGGCAAUGAAGUGUUUGUUCCGAGUGCUUCUCCCAUGAAUGAGAACUGGGUGAAGGGGUAUAUAUAGGCAGCAGCCAAAAUCCAACCGUUACACACAAAAAGGCAAACUAGGUGACACUGAAGUUGAAAACUUGGUAGUACGGAUUAGCACUAAAAGUGUGAACUUUUGAAUAUUGGUGAGAGUGAUAUACGAAACUUGGUGGCACUGAAAACGUGACUAACCGUCAGAUGGACAAACUCGGUGGCACCGAUACUCAAACUCGAAAAUUGCGAUUUUGUGUAUCUUGGCAACAGAAUGUUGGUCACAAUAAACUCGGCAGGACCGACUCGGUUUUUGUUGCACCGAUUUGGUGGGAAUUCCUAGGGUUUCUGUGUGAGGUCAAACUCUGUGGGUCCGGCAUGGAAAUGUUGGUGACACCGAAUUUGUGUAUCUGGAUAUUGACAGAGUGGAUAUGUGGGGAAAAUGACUGAGUGUUUUGUUGGCUAUCUUUGAGCAUUUGAGCAAUCAUUUGAUUUUACUAGCUCACCCCCUUUUAAUAGUAUUGGCUUGACGAUGAGCUUAAAAUUUAUUUCUCAUAAAUACAAAAUAAAGAGUCUUCUAGCUUCAAGCUUAAGCGAACAUUGUUCCCUACUUGCAUCAAGGGGCAUCUCCACAUAAACCUUAAGCCAUGGCUCUCCAUGGACUUUUCCUGAAAUAUCUAGGUAAAAGUGUUAGUCCAAGAGACACUGUAUGUUGUCAUGAAUUAUCAAAAUCACCGAGGGAGCAUAUAUGCUUUCAGUGUGGUGUGAAAAGAUGAUAUAUGAGCCAUGGUAGAUGACUUGGCAUGAUGACGGAACAUGAGAUGUUCCUCCCCCAUUUAUGUUGAUAUCGGUGACUUGUUCACAAGGAUAUCGGUUACCCCAUGAUGCAUGCCUUCAUAUGAUGUUGAUCAUGUCAUUGCACUUAAAACUAGCUUUCUCCAACUUACCUACUUAGUGUGAUAUCAUGCAUUAUUAUUGCCUUGGUCCAAAUAUGGGUUGCUUGCGAGUACAUUAAAAGUACUGAUUAGCUUGGAAAUGGAUAUUUAAUUGGCCAUGCAUGGAAGAGCAGUAGUUUGAUGAAGAGUUUGUUGGAGACGAACAUGCGAACUAGGAUUCUUCCCUGUUAGAAUACAUAUAAGGUUAAGGCACAUGGAAUGGGUUCAAGUGUUUAGGAUUUGCACUACUAGUUAAGUUUGGUGUGUUGGCCUUAGAGGACCUAUCUACGUAAGGCUUACCUCAGUUGUCUUUAUUUGUAUCAGACGGUAUGUACGAAUGCAAGACUCUUGUUAUUCAACUUUAGUGUGUGUCGAUGAGCAUUGAUCUAUGGGAUCACUGUACAUCUGCAUUGGGUGAUCACGACUUAUUAGUCGGGGUUCCCACGGAGCUAGUAUCGGAGCCAUCCUAAUUGUAGGACGCCUUGGUUAGCAUGGACGUUAAUUAGUACAAACCCCUUGCACAAACUAUACCUAGGACCUAUACUUAGGAGUUUAUGCGCUUCUUGCCUCUUCUACUCUACUGCCAAAACCUUAUUGACACCCCUCCCCUUUCAAAUCUUUGUAGAUGGUCGUCAUACUCGAAGAACUCCUAACAUCCGGCUUACUCCUACUCCUGGAGGAGAGCGUAGAGAAGUGCUAGAUCCGACGAUCCCUUGUUUUCAUCUACCAUGAGCACUCGAUCCAUGAAACCACAAAGGAGUACCACGUUGAUUUGGUCGUGAAGGAAAACGACUCCCCGACGAGUUGGUUCUUUGAAGGACCAUAGAUGAAUACCUUGGUGAUCGCAAUCAAGACGACUGCACGGAAGGCACUCAUCCACCAUUGAGAUAUCAUCCAAGAGAUGGCUGACAAGCUGGCUACAAGGCACUUUCCCAUCUAAGGAGGAUGGAACACCACUCAGACUCUAGACCUACUUCAGCCUCUCCACCGACAGUGUGGCUCACAACCUGAUCAGGGAGUCCGUGAAACUUCGCAAGGAACUUCACCAUACCAAUGAGCUAUUUCUACUAGGCAAGGUGAAGCGAGGAAAGAUUAAGAAGGAUGGAUCCCACGAGGGAUGACCAACUAUCGCUUAUACAGGAGGAGUAUCCCUAGCUAGAGUUGCACUUACUCCGGGAGCAUCUCGACGACAUCGCAUCAGUGCGAAUGAGUUUUAUGCAGUCUAUGCUGACCCACCGGAGAAGCGUCACCGUCAUAGGCCUCCUCGUUCUCCGACCCCCUCGAGUGGAGAAGAUGCCCAUACAGGAGAUGACCAGGAGGAUGACCCGGAGGAGCGUGAGUACGAGAUCGAUCACUCCACCACUUAAGUCCGAGAACCCCUUGGGUAGGACAAGUCAUGUAUGCCUCAUGCGAAGUCAAGUCCGUGUAAUGGUUAAUAUGAAACCAAGUGUGAUUGUUGUUUGCUUUGUUGUUUGUGUUUCGAUGCAAGUCGCACUUUUGCCUUGGGCAACAUGUAAGCGACCACAUCUCCUAUCUUAUCUUAAUGCUAGGUGGUUGGUCUUUCGAACUUUGUUUUAUCACACUUGCACUAUACCAACCCCCUUAGGCACGUUUCCCUCUUGUUGCUUUUAUCUCUUGCCUAUUUUAGUUGUUUAACUUGGCUACUGCAACCAGGAUCGUGACUGCAACACGCACCAAUAAAUUUUGUAACCCCAGCACCAACAACUCUAGCUAGUAACCGGAGGCUGGUGGGUCUGCUCAAGUUGGAGGUCACUAGGGGCAGCCACAGGGCGGCAUUCCCCCGCCACCACCUCCAUCGGUGAACAUGACCAUAGCUUAGUUUCUCUAGGUGCUUAGGGAGGAACGCCAAGCUAACACUGCCGCUAUCAAGUAGAUGGCUCAAGUCCUUGUGAAAAACGAGCACCUAGGCACGAAAGGCAAUGUCCAUUCCACUAUGUCGGAGUUCGUGAGGAAUUACCCCCAACAUUCAUCAGGACUGCUCAACCCCUAGACGGCGAUGACAGGAUCUGCACCAUUAAGGACCUCCUUGCAUUAGCCAACUACAAUGAGGAUCGUUUGAAGGUUCUUUAUUCAUCUCACUGCUUGGAGGCACGGCUAGAGCUUGGUGGGAUGGAUUCAAUGUCAUGCAAGGUGACUAUGUGAUCAGUUGGGCUGAUUUCAAGCCAGGUUUCCCCACUGCCCACAUUUCUUCAGGAAUCAUGGCUAUCGAAAAGCGGGUAUUUUGAGCGCUGAAGCAAGGAAGUGGCUUUUUCAAGGAGUACCUGCAGAAGUUCACCUGAAGAUGUCAGCACUAAGGCAACCAAGAUAGAACAAUUUAUGCAAGGACUCCAGCAAGCACUGCAGUAUCAACUAAUUGUCUGCGACUUUCGGACCUUCUUCGUGUUGGUGAACAAGGCCCUCAUGCUUGAGGAUAAGCGUCAUAUCAUGGAAGACACCCACAAGUGCAAGAUGAUAAACAAAGGUAGUUCCAGCAACUGAAAGCCUCACCCUUGGCAACCAGCCCCAGCUAAGCCAAGCUAUCAGCCUUAGCGAGUCAGGACUCCUCAACCUUGUCCAAGCUACCAGCCUAGGCAGUAUGCCAAUCCAAGGUCGGCAUACAAUAACCCCAAUAACAACGCUUCUAGCAAGACCAACAACUUCAGGUAGGUCACGUGCUUUGGGUGUGGUCAGGCUGGACACAUCUCGACGGAGUGGCCCAACAAGAAGCCAGAUGCACCUGCCUGAUAACCCACAAGUAUAGGGGGUCUUGAUAGUCUUCACGGGUAGUAUUUCACCCUAAUUUAUUGAUUUGACACAAGGGUCGCCAAAGAAUAUUUAUUGGCAGUAACAGUUGAGUUAUCAAUUGAACCGCACUUGGGAUAUCCUUCUACAUCAAGUAUUUAGUACUACAACAAGUGAUAGUUGUAACAGUAACAGUGAUAGCAAUGAUCUUGGUAAGAGUAAUAGCAAUAGCAAUUUAGUAGCAGGUGUGACAGUAGCAAUAACAGUUGUAACUUAGUAAGAUUCAGUAUAUGUAAUGCAUAGGCACGUGGAUCAACAGUGAAUAAUGAUUUAGAUGUCAUUUAUCAUAUAACAAUUACACACUAGGGCGACACAGAACUAGCUCCAAUUCAUCAAUAUAAUGUAGGGAUGUAUUCGGUAUAUAGUCAAACGUGCUUGCAAUAAGAAAUUGCAUGACAUCUUUGUCCUACCCUCGUUUGGCAGCGGGGUCCUAUUGGAAACUGAGGGUUAUUAAGGCCUCCUUUUAAUAGAGAACCGGAACAAAGCAUUAACACAUAGUGAAUACAUGAACUCCUCAAACUACGGCAAUCACUACAAAGAAUCCCAAUUAUUGUCACCUUGGGGUAUGCGGAUCAAGACACGUAAUAUGUAACUAUAACUUGCAAGAUAGGAUCCAAAUCACUCUUGCAUUCAUGAAAACAUAAUAGGUUCACAUCUGAAAGCAUGGCACUCAGUCCCUAGUGAAAUGCAUUAAGCAUAUCAAAGUCAUAGUAACAUCAUUCUCAGAACAUAGUGGAUACUAGGAACCAAGCCAUAUCAAACUUAACUCGAUCACAUGAUUAAUCUCAUCCAAUCCCACCGCUGUCCAUCAAGCCUACAAAGGAAGUACUCACUACCGGUAGUGAUCAUCAUGGUGGUGUUGAUGGACAAGGGUUGGUGAUGACGACGACGACGACGACGAAUCCCCCUGUUUGGAGCCCCAAAUGGACUCCAGAUCAGCCGUCCGGAGGAAGAACACGAUGUGGUAGUGGCUCCAUCUCGUAGAAAGUGAUGAAAACUUCUUCUAUUUUCUUCUUAUAGAAUAUAAAUUUAUAGGAGUGGAAUUAGGGUGAGAGGAGCCUCGGGGCCCCACAAGCCGUCAGGGCGUGGCCUAUGGGGCACCUUGGUUGCUUGUGGCCCCCUGGCACUUCCUUUAUGGCAGGUCUUCGCUCCAUAAAUCGUUGUAAAUUCCAAAAAAUAAUUCACAAAAUUUUUCACCCGAUUCCGAGAACUUCUGUUUUUGCACGAAAAACAGCAAAGUAAUUCUGCUGAAAACAGCGUUAGUGCAGGUUAGUUUCAUUCAAAUCAUGGAAAUUAGAGGCCAAAACCAGAGAAAAAGUGUUUGGUAAAGUACAUACAUUGGAGACGUAUCAACUCCCCAAAGCUUAACUCGUUGCUUGUGCUCAAGCAAUUCAAUUGAUACAGUAGAAGUGAUAAAGAAAACUUCUACAAACUCUUUUGUUCUCGUUAUUAUAAACAUGCUUAGCUAGUGUUCAAGUUUUCAUCAUAAAUCAUAAAUAAACACAUCCAUCAUGAUAAUAUAAGCAUCAUAUCCAAUUAUGGAAAUAGAUAACCAACUAGUAAGCAAUAAUAAGAUAUCUCACAUUCCAACAAUUUGUCAAAGAAUCACGAUUUAAUAUGGUCACAUGGUAUCUUGCUAGCCCUUUCUGAGACUGCAAUUCAUAAAUGUAGAGCACCUAUGAGAUCAAGAGUACUAAAUAUUAUAAAGCAGAAUAGAAAACAUCAUAGUCAUGCUCAUCACCAAUAUUGACUAGACACAAUGCGAAAAAUGACAAUAGUUCUCUCUGGUCAGGUGAUUUUAGCAAGAGGGCGAUGACUCAAAAUAAAAAGUAAAAUAGGUACGCCCUUCGCAGAGGGAAGCAUUGAUUUGCCACAGUGCCAAAGCUCAAAUUUUAAAGAAGAGUAGGAAUAGUUUUUGAGUGGUGUUCUUUACUGUCAACAUCAUGACAAAGGUUUUAGUAUCUUCCAUGCUAACCUCAUUAUAGUUGGUUCCCAAACGGAAUUGUGAAGUUUUACUCCCAUCCACCAUCCAUACAAAACCAUGGCUAGCCAAAUUCAUGGGUGCCCUCCAACAUAUCAUCUUGCCCAAGGAGUUCUAUUUUAAUUUAGUUUUGGUUAAGCAGGGUUGGACACCCUUGUUACCAACCUCCCUCGUGCAAUGAUGGGGAAUAAACGCCUGUAUUGAGAGUAACUUACUUAGCAUGGAAGAUAAUUGUUGCCCCAUCGCUCCAUGAGCGGUACGAGUGCACAAAAUAGAAGUUUAUUUCAAAGUUUUUAGAGGUGGCACAUGCAAAUUUAGUUGGAACGGCAUGGUAAUACUCCAUAUAGGUAGGUACGGCAGACUUAUGUGGACUAACUUGGUUUUAAGGAUCUUGGAUGCACAAGCAGCAUUCUCGAUUAGUUCAGGUGGAAGCUACCAAAAGAUUGAGAAGCAACCAACUAGAGAGCAACAAUGGUCAUGAACUCACAUGGGAGGGUCCAUCCAUGUGGAGUGCUACUGUAGCCGCUAAAAGAGACUUCCAUAACCCCUUUUUUGCAGAGGUGGUCUUCACUGCAUGUUGGAACAUCGGGACUAUCAGAAAUGCAAAGGUCUUUAACGAGGAGCAUCCAAAGUUCAGAAAAUGGAGAUCUGGCUUCAUCCAUGACAUUUCCCUGUUAGCUCACAGAAUUAAGGCUAGUUUCAGGGAUGAUCUCCUUAAAUGGGUUUCCUUUUUGCCUCCUUGAGGUGUGUAGCCUUAGCUCCUCAUCCCAUUUGUACAUUCUAAUUUCUUCUUGUACAUACUGCUCUUAUAUAUGGGAAUAAAAGAAAAAAAGCUAUGGGGGGUUUUCCCUACACUAGCCGGUCAACAAAAACAAUGGUCAUGAACAUGCAAUGAAAAUAGUCAACUUUGGACAAAGCAUGAGUAGGAUAUAAACAUUCUCAAUUUAAAUAUCAUGAAGGCUGCAUUGUUUUUGAAUCAACUGCAUAUUCACACAUGGGCCAAGCCGAACUGAUUGAAUUACUUAGAGGAAUAUACCAUGCUACCAUAUCACAUCAUAACCAUUUUACUGCCUAUUGACACACACAGUAAAUCAUUACCAACUCCUAGCUAUUUAAGCAUGGCAUGAAAAGCUAUAAUCUCUAAUUGUCAUAACAAACAUGUUCACUCAUGAUAUACUGAAUCAAGAUCGAACGAGCUAACAUAUUAAAAGAAACAAGAAAAAGAAAAGUCCAUACCCAUUUCCUUUGCCACGAUCACUUCAUCAAAUAUCUUAUUAUUGCCUUUCACUUGCACGACCAAAUGAUGUGAUAAUAAUAAAAGUGCAAGGGUGUCGUGGACUAAGGUGGAAUCUACAGGGCAAUUUUAAACAAAGGAGAAUACAUGAUAAUAUUGGCUCUUCGUUAGCUGAACAACAAAGCAUGUUGGAGCCACUCAACAUUUUCAUCGUAGUCUUCUCCUUCUAUAACACAUAAAACGGGAAAAGAAUGUUAGAGAAACAUGCUAAAAUAUUUUUGUAGUUUUUAUUUUUCUCACGCAAGUAAAAUAAACUACGGGAAAACAGGAAUGAGAAAAACUAUUCACACGGGAAAGCUCCCAACAAGCAAGAGGAAAUCUUUUUGGGUUCUCUUUUAAUACUACCAAUAAUUGAAAAGGAAAUAAAAACAGAAAAGAAAUGUGAAAUAAGUUUUUUCAACACACAAGAAGAAAGCGGGACAAAAAUUAAGCUAAGCAUGAAUAUACAAUGAAAGAGGAUGAACAUUGACAUUUCAUAUGAAUUGCGCGAACAUGAAUGUAACGUCGCUGGGAAAUAUGUAUUCCCCCAAGCUUAGUCCUUUUCCUAGCUUGGUAAUCACAACUGGUAGCUUGGAAGUGGUUGAUAUGAUAACUUGUUGGGGCAUUCCUGGCCGCCUCUUACACCAGGCGCGGAGCCUCUACUGCAGCAUUGUACUCCAGCACUUCGUUCUCAAGAAUGUAGUAUCUCUCGUAAGCCGGAAAAUUGAGGAGGGCACGUGUAGGCAAAAUAACACGCAAUGACGUGUACUUUGCAAAAAUUAAGUUAUAAUCAUGAUAAUGCAUAGCUUCGAAGUCUAAAUAUCUAUUAGGCAAAAUAUGAUCAAUAAAUUGGGGUGCCACUCCGAAUUGUGCAGCUAGACUCGAGGCAUAAAUUCCUCCAUAUGAAUCAUCAUUGGUAUAGUUGGAAUGCAACCUUUGAGCCAAAAUUGCACCAAGGUUAUAGUGUCGAUCACCAGUCACAAGAACAUGAAUAAGGCUCAAGUCGGGGGCACAUAGCAAACUGCAAUCUUGUUUCUCUACUACGCAUUUCCCAUUAAAUAGUGCAAAGUAGAGGAUAGAGGGAAAAUGAAUGCUUUUAAUUCUACCCUCCGUUACUAAACUAGUUUCUCCAACUCAGACGGUAUCAAGAAACGUAUUAUAAUAAGUUUUUGGAGGUUUCUCUAGUGAACCCCAAAGUAGAAGUUUGCAUGCAAUGGAAAAUUCUUCUAGACACAUGCUAAAGGCUUUAUCAUAGAGAGUAAAUAAUACUCUCGAAGUACUAGAGAGAUAACGAAAUCCAUUUGUGAAAGUGAAUGUAAGGUUGUAAUGUUAGGUACACUUAUCUUCGUGGAAAUCGGUGAGCCUAGUAUUGUAAAUGAAAUGAUCAAAUUGCUCCUUCAUACCCGCACCAUUCAUGAACUUAUGCCUUGGCCACCAGCAUGAUUUUCGGCCAGCCAUGAUUUCUUGAUUGGCCCGAGCCUGAAUGUAAGCGUGUUGUGUCGAGCCCUCGCUCGAUGAUUCACUAGGAUUACGCCUUCUCGAGGAGCUUCUCCUAAAGAAACUCAUCGCCCUUAGUACAAAUUUAUCAAUGGGGAUUUUCAUAUCCCCAAUAACAAGAUUAUAGUAUUUAUUUUCCUUGGUAAUAGGUAAUGGGAUUUGAAGGUGUCCGAUGAUGACUAUGGCACAAGGCUCAAUAACAUGAAUAUUAUUAACCAAAUUUUUUGUUUUUAGGAAUAUGCACGGAAUGCUGCUUGCCAUUGACAUUGAAGGUAACCUUGAUUUUGUUGCAAUCAAUAAAAGCCCGUGCAGUAUUUAAAAGGGUCUACCAAGGAUGAUCAACAUAUUGUCGUCCUCGGGCAUAUCACGAAUAACAAAGAUUGUUAAGACAGUAACAUUUGCAACCACAACGGGAACAUCGUCGCAAAUUCCAAUAGGUAGAGUAGUGGAUUUACCAACCAUUUCCAAAGAUAUCUUAGUGGGUGUAAGCUUAUUCAAUUCAAGUCUUUUAUAAAGGAACAAAGGCAUAACAUUAACACCUACUCCUAGAUCCCAUAAAGAAGAUUUGACAUAAUUUCAUUUUAAGGAGCAAGUUAUAGUGGCGAUACCCGCAUCUCCCAUCUUAUUAGGUACUCAACCAUCAAAAUAAUAAUUAGCAAGUAUGGCGGCAAUUUGAGUUUCAGGUAUCUUACUUUUGUUGGUAGUAAUAUCCUUCUUAUACUUAGCAUACAGAGGCAUUUUUAAUAUAUCAUGCAAGCGAGUAUGCAAAAAGACAGGACUAAUCAUUUUAGUAAAGAGUUCAAAAUCUUCAUCAUCCCUACUUUUGGAAUACUUUUGAGGGAAUGGCAUAGGUUUUUGAACCCAUGGUUCUCUUUCCUUAACAUAUUUUCUAGCAACAAAGUCUCUCAUAUGAUAGUGUUUAUUCUUAGGAGGUUGGUUAUCAAGACCCUCAGCAGGUUCUAUCUCUAUAGCAUUAUCAUGUUAUUUAUUACUAUCUAGUGGAACAUCUACAUGCAGCCUAUUAUUCUCACCCUCAUUUUUAUUAUCAAUAGGUGCAUGUACACAACCAGAUUGGACCUCAACAUCAGAAAUAGAAACAUCACUGUGAUUCUCUAUAUGUUUUUCUAUCUCCGGUUCAUUCGGAGCAUGCAAAGUCCUAUCAUCUUUCCUUUUCCAUUUCUUCUUAGAAGGACUAUUUGUACCAUCGUUCAUUCUCUGAGAAUCCAGUUUAAUUCUUUCAACGUGACCUUCAUGACAAAGAGGCUCUUGAGUCAUUCUACCUCCUCCAGUCACUACUCUAACAGCAUGAUCAAUAAUAUUAUUCAUCUCUAUAAACAAUGUAACAUCCCAAAUAUAGGAAUGUUAAUAUAAUUAUUAUAUUGUUUGUUUGUUUGCUUGAGUGAUUGAAACUUGAGUGAAAUUUGAGACUUUUCAAAAACUUUUGAAUGAGAGGGAAUAAAAAUGACUUUCCCCUUCUCCGGUGAAUUCAAAUUCAAUCUUUUAAAAGCAAAGAGAGAAGAUGACAUGACUUCUUCAACUAUAAAUAAUUUAAACGGAGAUAUUUGCAUUUGAAUUCUUUUGCAUUUCUAUUCGUUUUCUUCGUGCAAGAAAUGCCGGGAAAUACAUUGUGUCAAACAGAAAAGAGAGGAGGAACAUGACCCUCAAACACCCGGGCAUUUUGAAAGUUAUUUGAACCCUAAAACUUAGAGGGUCAUUUGAAAAUUAUUUGCAAAAGAAAAUAAAUCUUUUAGGAAAUUUUGUGAAAAUAAUUUUUUCUGAAGUUUUUAUUUUUGCCGUGGAAAAAUGCCCAUCUUUUAGAUUUUAUUUUUCUGGUAAUUUUAGUAUAUGGAAACUCUAUUUUCGGAAUUGAUUUGAUUUCCUAAAUUCUCCUUUUACAAUCCUGUUUUAUUUAAAAGGAAAAUUUUCCUAUAUUAGGAAAAUCGCCGGAGGCCCAAUAGGUAGGUUUGGGCCCGAUUCCCUUUCUUCUUCCCCUGAUCAUCUCCUUCCUUCUCUGUACAGGAACCUUCCAUCAAUGGAGGAAGGAAUCCUCUCCUUCCCGAUCUCCCUCUUCCUUCCUUCCGGACGCCAUCCGAGGCCGCCUAUAAAUCCCCACCGUCCUCCUCUCUCCGUUUUUCCCUUUCCCAACCCCAUCUCCCCUCGCCGGAGCCACUGCCCAGGACGAGCCAGCAGCACCUGCACGAGCUCCCCAUCGCCUCUGCCUCGCCCCAGCCCCACCUCACCCCCCUGGCACCCCUGCCUCUCCUCGCCACCACUUCGGCCUCCCCUCCGCCGCCCCACCCCACCCCACCCCCUUGCCCNNCAGCCUCGCCCGGAGCUGGUGCUCCUCCCCAUCGCCACGACCAGGAACUCCUCCCGUCGCCCCCCCCCCUGCACCCCUCGCCACUCCNUCUCCUCCGCCGUCCCCACCCCCCCGCAGGCGCCCCCCACGCCGGAGCUGCUUCCCCGUGCCAGCCACCUCGCCGGAGAAGGCCUCCAGCCACUGCUGCGUUCAUCCACGGUAAGGCUUCUCCUCCUCCUGUUUUUAUUUUUUCUUUUUUUGGUUUGCCCUUAGAUCAAAGACCUACGGUGUAUAUUAGAAGGGCAUACCCCUUCGGUUCUUUGACAAGAACCGGCCGUUUAUUUUUAUUAACCGAAUCAUUUUUCCUACAUAGGGGCCGUUUGUUAGUUAGUUUUAGGAGCGCACGGAUACGGCCAAUCAGGGACUGCCACGUAGUCUGUAGCAAUUGUUUUAUUUUUCUGUUUAGUUCCAAAAACAGAAAAGUUCCAAUCUUGUUUAGCCCAUAACUUUUGAUCCAUAAGUCCAAUAGAGUUGAUUUUUUUUCCAGUAGCUCAAAAAGUUCCUGUAGUUUGUAAAAACAUAUAUUUUGUUUGUGUUUGAAACUUUCAAAUUUGAAUUAGAUCAGAUUUAGUUUGAAUCUUGUUUUCCUUAUCCCAGGAGUUUAAAAAUAGAUUUUAAUUUGAUUCUUUUUGCUACUGAUCACUAGUGAUCGUAUUUAUCAAUGGUAGAAAUUUCAGAUUUGUUUGAGUAUUUUAGCUUAUGGUUUAUUGUGAAACAAUUUCUGUUUCACCUCUUUUAGGAUUUCGGCUAAUUCCUUUUCUAUAUUUGUUUUUAAAAUAUUUUCUUUAUUGUUUCAGAAAGAUUAUUGUUUCGUUUAUGUUAGAUAACAGUAGUUUUGCAACAAGUUUUUAUUUUAUUUUUAUUUGUUUUCAUGAAAUCAAUUAUAGUUCCUUAGUAACUUGCAAUUGGUUUCCCCACUGUUUCAAAUCCCGUUUCGAAAUACUUUCAAAUAGUUUUGUGAAAAAUAUUUUAUUUUUAUCUUAGUUAAAUUUAUAUCUUAGUUCCUAGUUAUUAUUUUUCCGUUGGACAAAAACUAUUUAGUGUUUGAUGUAGUAGAAGACUCCUAGUUUUAGUGAAAUUUCUUUCGGAUUCUUAUUCGCUCUCUUGUUUUGAUUGCUAGAAUGAUUGCUAGUAUGAGUGCUUAUGUGAGUGAUAUGUUUUUUAUAUAGAUUUCAUCGGAGAGUGACGAGUAGUCUAUCAAGUUAUUUCUCGAGAUAUUCUUCUUCGUCAACAUCGCCAGGCAAGUCACUUUGAUCAUACUAUCACCAAUGUUUUAUGCAUCGUAGUUCUACCAUCCUAUGCCUAAUUGGAUGCUGAGUAGGUACUUGGAAAUUAUGGUUACAUAUUGUAGUAUCAUGUGGUAGGCACCCAACAACCCCGUUACUUGGCCCGGGACGACAAAUUUAAUAUUGUUAUGCUUGAGUAGACGGGAUUCUGGUUGAGAGUUUAUCACGAGUGAUGCGAGACUACUUUAAUAACCAAGACCGGUUAAGUCAAGAUUUUUCAAGAGCUCAGAACGAAAUGCAUCUCUGGGUGAAGGACGGUUGAUCGGCUCCCUAGAGAAACCAGUGGAUGACCGGGGAUGCUGGGGACGGCCAUGACAUCCUGCGGAAAGCUUCACCCAGGCUCAAAGAGACGGACGGAUAUUUUCAAGACCCAAGGCUUACCUACACAGCCACCAGUCAUUAUGGGCUCUAGCUUGGUUGGACGACGCGGCGACUCUGGACAGGCGGUGCUAGCAGAUGUAGACGAACGGUAGGAAUGGAUGGGCACCGACAGGGAUUCAGAGGGACCCGUUGAAAGACCAUGUUUUGAUCAUCCGGUCUUCAAACACCCUGAAGUGCGAGGACAUACUCGGAGGCGAUCAAAUCUUGUGGGGAACGUGUGCAAAACUCUGCAGAGUACUCAAACCUAAUCGAUUAGCCGUGUCCACGGUCAUGGACAACUUGAGCCAAAGGAACUGAAGUUAUCUGGAUUUCUCAACAACAUUAUAUAUAUUUCAUGAGGGUAAUAUUGAUAACUCGGGUACGAGAACUGGUUGGCGGAACCAUCUCGUUAACAACCAACCUUGUAGUAAUAUUUCGCUUUUAGCCCCUCUUGCUGUAGGAGAAAAUUUGCUUUACGCUAAAAACUUACAACACCACCUGCCAUAUAUGCAUAUAGUAUAGAUGAUUACUGUUCACCCCUCUCUUAUGUGACUUGCCGGCAUAUUCAAUAUGCUGACCUACACGGCUGCAAUGUCUUAUGUUGCAGAUAUUUUUCUUCGACGAGUAAGAGUACGAUUCAGGGAUUAUGGUGUAAACUCAACUUGUCGUUGGUGUUUAUUGGGACUCCACUCCCUUGACUGCUUCCGCUGAGAUAUUUAAGGUAUAUAUCAGUUUUACGCUGUUUACAUGUGAUUGCACUUUGAUAUUGUUGGAGCAUAUAUCUCCAUAUGUGGUUUCGGUACUUGAUGACAAUUCCUAUGGACUAAUGGUUUCCUUAAGUUACAUUUAUAGGAUUUGUCUAUAGGCACUUCUUGAAGUCCAUCUGUUGGGUUCAAGGAGUUUAUAUGAUGACCAAGAUGGUAUUCAAGGUAUUAUCCAAAGAAUGGUCAUAGAGACACAUGGUUGAUCAAGAUCUCAGACAAAGAGUAAAUCAAGAUGAUCAACACACAAAGCGUACAAGAUGUACCGAGAAGGAUCAAGUGAUCCCAUNNNNNNNNNNNNNNNNNNNNNNNNNNNNNNNNNNNNNNNNNNNNNNNNNNNNNNNNNNNNNNNNNNNNNNNNNNNNNNNNNNNNNNNNNNNNNNNNNNNNNNNNNNNNNNNNNNNNNNNNNNNNNNNNNNNNNNNNNNNNNNNNNNNNNNNNNNNNNNNNNNNNNNNNNNNNNNNNNNNNNNNNNNNNNNNNNNNNNNNNNNNNNNNNNNNNNNNNNNNNNNNNNNNNNNNNNNNNNNNNNNNNNNNNNNNNNNNNNNNNNNNNNNNNNNNNNNNNNNNNNNNNNNNNNNNNNNNNNNNNNNNNNNNNNNNNNNNNNNNNNNNNNNNNNNNNNNNNNNNNNNNNNNNNNNNNNNNNNNNNNNNNNNNNNNNNNNNNNNNNNNNNNNNNNNNNNNNNNNNNNNNNNNNNNNNNNNNNNNNNNNNNNNNNNNNNNNNNNNNNNNNNNNNNNNNNNNGGGGUUAGGUGUGUUUCCACGGGCUUGCGUCAAAGGGAAAAUCUCAUAGAACCCAUGGAGUAUGACGUCAAGUUGUGAUCGUCAUCAAGAUUGCGAUGUGCAAGUUCAAGUGGAUCAGCAUGAAGAUAGCAUGCUUGAAGCUUGCAUGCNNNNNNNNNNNNNNNNNNNNNNNNNNNNNNNNNNNNNNNNNNNNNNNNNNNNNNNNNNNNNNNNNNNNNNNNNNNNNNNNNNNNNNNNNNNNNNNNNNNNACCUUCCCUAUUUGGAACCUAUUGCAUGUGGGGCCACCUUGUCAUGUAUGAUGAUGUCAUUUUGUGUCAUGAUUUCAUGUGUGUCCCUUACUACUUCCUUCCCUUCCAUGCAUGCAUAACUUAUCAUGUCUUGCCCAUGUAUUGUGUUGUUGCAAUUUGGUCAUAGCAAUUGAUGUGUUGGUUGUGAUCUUGUGGUUAGGUACCUGGUGAUGCUUGUGAUCUUGUGAUUUCAUGUGGGAUUCUCAUGAGAUGUUGGGGGGAGUAGAAUUGAUGUGGUGGUUUACUUCAAGCCCUUCUCUAAAUCAAAAGACCCUUUUCUCUCUCUUUUGUUCUCAAGUUCAAAUUCUACUUGCUCCUAAGCUAUUUUAAAAAGUGUCUUUUAUUUAGGAAAUAUUGUGGGCAUAUUUGGGGUGCUAAAUUUUGUGUCUUGAAAAGUGUUUUGAAGGUGCAAAUAAACACAAAACAGAAUUUAAAUGCUGUUUUGUAUUUAUUUCAUAUGCCCCAAAAAAUCAUUCUCUUAUUUUAUUUAAUUAGCUUUCUAUUUUUCAGGCCCAGGAACAUUUUCGUUUUUAAUUUAUCUUCUUUGCUUGUCUUCAUGGCCUUUUUCCUUUUCUCUGUGUUUAUUUAAUAGGAAUCUCCAGGGAGGGCUUUUUCCUUUAAGUGACGCUCUGGUGGGCUUCCUCCCACCAGAGAGGCCCAUCUCUCUCGUAGCGCAGCAGUAGCCCAGUGCCACGUUCAUCUCCUACAUGUCGACGUCAGCCAUGGUACGAACCUCGCUCCACCUCCCGAUCGCCUUCCCCCCAAUCCAGCGGCUCAAGCUCGUUCCCCGAGGUGUAUAAAGCCCCCGGUCUUCCUCCUCCUCCGUAGGGUUCCUUCUCCCCCUCCAGUGCGCCGCCACCUUCCUCAUCUCUCCUCCUCCCCGCAGGUAGGCUGCUGUAGACAGUAGCAGAGAGAAGCAGAGAAGGUGCCCACGUCUACCCCGAGUCCGCCAUGUCCAGGAGCUCGGGGUUCGACCCCGCGUCCAUUCCCGUCGUCGGUAGGGUCGGGGAGCGACCACACCGACGAGCUCGACCUCGUCAGCGCCUCGGCCCCGGUGCACUUCGUCACUGCUUUGGUCUACGGCAGGAUCUCCCUC